Molecule: long non-coding RNA, 49187 nt
Filed under: Ananas comosus (pineapple)
Lineage: Eukaryota; Viridiplantae; Streptophyta; Magnoliopsida; Poales; Bromeliaceae
Description: long non-coding RNA (ACOM_LNC004717)
Source: RNAcentral
AUAUAUAUAUAUAUAUAUAUCGGCUCCGUUAAAUAUGAUCUAAACCAUUUAAACUACCUAGAAAUCAAAUUUCACGCACUUUCGAUAUUGUUCUUUUAUCCAUCAAGUGAACAGAAAAAUGAAUGGCUGAAAAUGAAUACUCUUUAAAAAAUGAUGAUAGAAGUCUUGUAAUCAAGAUCAAGAGUAUAGAUCUUGUUUUAAAUAGGUUAAAGAAUUUUCUAAUAAAAAUUCAAUUAAUUUGGAUAUCUUUACGCCGUUAAACGAGAAAACGCUUCAUAUCGACCAUUAAAAUUACAAAAUUUGAACCCUUUGAUCAUUAGGCAAAUGAUGUCGAAAAGAUUUAAAAUUUGAUUUCUAAAUACUUCAAGCAGUAUAGAUUAUGUUCAACGAAGCCGAUCGUCAAUUUGGAAGUUCUAUCACCGAAAACAAAUCGGUAGUAAAACGGCUCGUUUACUACCGGUAGUAUUUUAGCUCAACUCAUAUAUAUAUAUAUAUAUAUAUAUAUAUAUAUAUAUAUAUACUACUAUACUAUCAAUAGUACCAAGCUCUUGGUACUAUUGAGUUUUCGGCCGUUGGAUGAAAAGAUGUGCGGUUAUGAUGAUAGUGGUCCCCGGUCAAAUUGAUAGUGGUCCCCUACGGUUGAGUGGGUGGUUGGCUUAAUAGUAUAAUCUAACGGGCGGAACUGAUCAAAGGGUAAAUCUAAUGGUAGAAAACUCAAUAGUACCAAGGGCUUGGUACUAUCGAUAGUAUAGUAGCUGGACUCUCUCUCUCUCUCUCUCUCUCUCUCUCUCUCUCUCUAUAUAUAUAUAUAUAAUAUUAUAUAGAGUGAGGUACUAUGCUAUCGGAAACAGAGGAGCUUUCCGUGCUUCCAGCUCGUUUCUUCGAUGUUGCGACUUUCGAAUCGUCGAUCGCUCGUUAAAUUUGAUCUAGAGUAUUGGAGUACCUAGAAAAUAAAUUUUAUUAUUUUUCGAAUCUAUUGCCUAGUGAUCGAAUGGGCUCAAAAUCAACAAUUUCAAUGACCGUAGUGAGCCGUUGCAAGUUUAACAGUGUAAAAAUAUCCAAAUCACGUGAAAUUUUGAUAGAAAAUUCUUUGUACUAUAUAAAAUAAGAUCAAUAUCUUUGAUUUAAAUUUUAAUUGUCAUUUAUUACAUUUUGUAAGAUUUUUAUUUUCGCCAUUGAUUUUGAGCCCCUUCGUUCACUAGGCAAAUGAUAUCGUAAAAUCAUAAAAUUUAUUUUCUAAGUACUUCAAAUACUCUAUAUCAAGUUUAACGGAGCCGAUCGACAAUUCGAAAGCUGCAACAUCGAAAUGAGCUAGAGCACAGAAGGCUUCGUGCUUCGAUAGCAUAGUAGCCUCACUCUAUAUAUAUAUAUUAUAUAUUAUUAUAUAUAAUAUAUAUAUAUAUAUAAUAUAUAUUCCGGCUUGGUGCUUGUAAAAGCACCAAGCACUUGGUGCUUGUAAGUUUUUUACCGUUGAUCUACUCAUCGGAUCAUUUCAACCAUAGAUUAUACUAUUCAACAAACCACCCACUCAACCCCAGGGGGCCCACAUCACUCACCGCAUAUCUUUUAAUCAAUGGCUAAAAUCUACAAGCACCAAUAACUUAAUACUUUUAAAAGCAUAGGAGUUGAAUUAUAUUUAAUAUAUAUAUAUAUAUAUAUAUAUAUAUAUAUAUAUAUAUAUAUAUAUAUAUAUAUCCCAAUAAUUGAUGCAAUAAGAAACACUAACACAGGUGACAAAAAGUACAUUAGUUAGUAUUCAAAAGUUCUAAAUUGUAAAUUUAAUUGCUUUUAUUUUAACUAAAUUUAUUUCUAAAAUAAUAAUAAACAAAAUGAUUAGUAUGCUAGCUACUAAUCUUUUAAAAUAAAAAAAAGAAUUAAUAACUGUGCUUACGUGUACAACAAUAUAAUCAUCGAUAAUUAUGUGGGCAUCAGAAAUAUUCUCACUUUGAGAGAUACAUAAAAUUAGAGAUUAUUUUUGUGAAAAUAAUAAUAUUCAUUGCGUAAGCAAAAUUAUUUUAGAACAUCAUGGCCAAUUUGCAUAAGAAAUUUACAAGUUUUGAAUUUUUAUAAAAUUGGACCGUCUUUUUCGAUUUUAUACAUUCGGUCCGGAUUUUCAGUAAACUGAUCCAAAUAUCUUUAUAUUUUUUUCUCCCUCUUUUUUUUUCUAGUCUUUUUUUUUUUCUCUUCGAAGAAGGCGGCGGAGGCGGAGGCGGAGGCGGAGGCGGAAACGGCCAGCCUCGCCUCUGCCCCUCACUCCCUCACCCUCGCCUCAACACCCCCUCGCCCUCCUUGCCUCCAACCCCGCCAAGGCCUUGCCGCGACCUUUUUUUUUUUUUUUUUUUUUUUUUUUUUUUUUUUUUUCUCUCUCCAACCCUCCUCCAUCAUCUCCGCGGCCCUCUGCGACGAUUGUGAGGAUGGUAUUACGUUCUCUUCCUUCACCUUCGCCCUUCACCUCCACUGCAGUAUAUUUUCUAUCCGCCAAACAAACCCGCCGUCCCCACCACCGCCACCGGCUACGAAGAGGAAGUGUUUAUCGGGGCCGAGAAGUAUGCCGGCGAGGGAGGGGGAGAAAAAUUGUUACACUCCGACGAUAGCGGUGGCUGCGAUAGAGAGUAAGAGAGAAAUCGUGACAAAAAAAAUAUAAACAGAAAAAAAAUAAGAAUAAUAAAAAUUAAAAAUUAAAAGUUAAAAAUAUUUUUUUUCCUACAGGAAAGGCCAAAAAUCAUAGAUAAGGAACAAAAAAAUGAAAUUGUACUGUUAAAAAAAAAGUUACACUAUUGUAAAAAAUUUUUUGCCCUGUUUUAAAUAAAAGUUGUACUUUUUGAGACAAAUUACAGUUUUCGAAAUAAGAGUUAUACUCUUUAGAAAAAAGUUGCAUUCUUUGGGUGAAGGGGCAGAGGUGAGGCGAGUCAUUUCUGCCUCUGCCUCCUCCUCCGCUUCUGCCGCCUUCUUCGGAGAGAAAAAAAAAAAAAAACGUGAGAAAAAAAAGAGAGAGAAAAACUUGUUAAAAAUUUAAAUCGAAUCUGCAAAAUCAAAAAAGAUGGCCCAGUUUUAUAAAAGUUCAAAACUUGUGAAUUUUUUAUACAAAUUUGCCAAACAUCAUUAAUUCAGAAGAGAAGAGAAUUACUUAAUAUAUACCAAUAUUGCUGGAGCAUUAUAUCAACAUAUUUUCAUACUGGAAUGAAAGAUCAAAGAUUAAUUUGUUAAUAAUAAAUAUAUAACAUAUGCUUAUGCAAUUAAUGUGGACUUAUGAGAUCAUUUAAUGGCUCCAACUUGUGUUACAUUAUGACCCAUGCUAUCCAUGUGGUUGUAUUUAUAGGAUUAGGAAAUUCAAUAUUAGAUCCAUAAUUUAUUCACAAGUUGGAAUGGUUAUCUCUGGCCAUUACAGCUGAGCUUCCCUUAUGCAAAAAUCUAUAUUUCAUGCCCUCAAUAAAAAAAAUGAUGUGACGACGGACAACCUAAUUAAAAAAUGAUGGACGAAACUAUCAGCCUGCGUAUUAUAUGGGAUGGAGGAGAAAAUAAUGGAUCACUUAUAAAAAUUCAAACUAAUAGAAAUAUAUGUACAUAACAAAUGUACUUAAAGGUACCGUUUGGUUCGGGUAUAAGCAAGAACUAGCUAUUACAGGGAUAGGUACAAGUAUGGGGAUAAGAAAAAUAGCGUUUGGAUGAAAAUUGGGUUGUUCCCGAGGAUAAGAAAAAUAUUAUGAAGUUUUAUAUAGAAAAUGAAGGUGUUGGUGGGGAUAAUCGAGAACUACUAUUCUCGGGUAAAAAAUUAGCGUUUGGAUAUAAAGGGAGGGAUAAGGGCCUAUUCCUAUUCCUGUUCCCAAACCAAACAGUGCCAAAGAGUACAUACAAUUUAUGAGCUUUAAUUGUGACUUGACUCACUCAGUCUCACCCCACUUCAAAAAGGGCUCGGCAUACUCCGGCCUCACGUCAUUUUAAAUGUAUUUAGCCCCUUUAAGCCAACAGAAUUUACGAUAUGAGAAAUAUAAUAAGCAGAUUUAGAGUUAAAGUACUUUCUAAGAGAAAAAUAUUUAUUGUUCUUGUUGACGAUUAAUUAUAAACAAGAUAUUUUCGUCGAUGAAUAUAAACCAAUGGUUUAUAUAUAUUUUUAAUCUUUAAAACGAGGAGGUUUGCUCACUUAUUUUAUUAACUUUUUUUUUUUUUUUUUACAUGGAGAGAGACAGAACCAUUAAUCUUAUAUUUUCAUGUCGGAUCUUUCGAGAUAACGUUGGUGCUAAAUACAACUUAAAUCCACGUACGUUUUCAUAUUUUUGUGUGGGACACGUUCGUUUUCAUAUUUUUGUGUGGGCCAACUUUUUCCAUAUCAAGGGAGGUUGGUGGGUAGGCAACGCCUCGAAUUCGGGACGAAUUUUUAAGAAUUCAAAUUUGAAUCCGACUAUAAAUCCAAAAUUUGAAUCUGAAUUCGAAUUUAAAUUAGAGAGAUUUUAAAAAUUCAUAUUCAAAUUCAACCCAACCGAAAAUUUAAAAUUCGAACCUAAAAAUUUGAACGCGAAAUAAUUAUUUCUUUUUAUACCGUACUUCAAAACAUAUUACAUUAAAUCUAACAUUUUAAAAUACAACUUCAAAUAUAAUAUUAAAUAUUUAUAUAUAUUAUAUAAUGUAAAAUUAAUUCGAGUUCGUGACAGGUUCAAAUUCGGAUCGGAUACAGACAAAAUUUAUAUUCAAAUCCAAAUCCAUCAAAUUUUUAUUUGUUAUAUUUGUUUCGAAACUACAUUUAUUUAGCAUGAGAUAAGUUCCCUCCUUUUGGGUUCAGAUUCGAAUAUAAUUUUAGGUAUCCGUACCCAUCAACAUCUCUAUUGCGAGAUAAAACUUGUUGAUGUGAAACAAUAAAAACCAAAAGAAAAAACAAGAAGUUGGUAAUUAAUAGCCUAUAAAUAGGGCAAGGGCAAAGAAAAGGGAGAAGCAUCAGCUGUAGAGGGAAAGAGCCAGCAAUAAUGGAUGCAAAUAAGAGAUCAGGAAUUGCUCUUCUUGUACUUCUUGUUGCAGUGUCCUGCCUUGCCGGUCCGUCCUCGGCUCGCACCCUCACCGGUCUUGAUUUUCUCGCUCGAGGUAAUCGUCGCGCAACAACGCUGGAUGUAUGUAUCUACAUAAUAUAACAAAAAGUAUUACUGAUAAGUCAACUUUUUUUGUUUAUUAAAAAAAAAGACACUAUCUUGCAUAUAUACUUAACAACAUAUUAGGAGAAAUAAACUUCAAAUUUAGUUAGUUAUCACACUAGUAAUGAAACUUCAGCUACGGUCCUCUUAUGAGAACAUGUCAAGGACUGAAAAGUCUAUAUAUACUUCGCACAUGCAAUAUUCAUGCCUCUUGUAAGAGAGAGAUGAAUGCUAUAUAUUCUAUCUUGUUCUCACUAAAUUAUCAAUAUUCAAUGACUAAAAAGUCUGUAUAUACUAUGCUUGUAAUUUUUAUGCCUCUCAUAAGAGAAUAGUGGUUGGACUAUUAGUAAUGAUAUUAUUUGAUGUUUGCGGACUAAUCAAUCACGAAUGUGUUGCUGCUCUUUCUGCAUGAAGUGAUCAAGGGAGAGAGAGUUACACUAAUAACCUGCAGCGAAUGCGUGUGUCCACUGCAAACAAGUUCAUCUGACGAAGAGUACAAAUGCUACUGCACGGAUACUUACUUGAUCUGCCCGAUCUUUUGCAAGAACUGCAAGGGCGAGCUCGGAGAGUACAUGUGCCUCGACAUGGUCUCGCCCAACCAAUGCCUAACAUCGGUCUCCUCCUCGGAGGCAAAGCAAAAGAUCAAGUUGCUGCAGGGUCGUGAAUGAGUGAAUAAGUGAGCAAGAGAUCGAAGUGCGUGUGAUGCAUAGUUAUAUAAGUAGCAAGUUAAGGGAUAUCGUAACUUGCUAAUGUAUUUGCAGCUUAAAUAAAUGGAUCUUGUGUGAUCCAUGCAUGCAUCUACGUACCUAUCUAUCUAUAAACUAUGCUUCUUUAUGUUCGUAAUGUGAAGCAGAAGAUGUACUAGAAUGGCUUGUUUCGUAGUAUAAAAUUUGUGAUCGUUAUCCGUAUAAAUUAAUAUGUUCCUCUAAUAAAAAUGUAUCUCUUCUUUAAUUACUAUUAAUUAGUAGCUGGUACAUAUUCAACAUGGAAAAAUAGUAGGAUUAUGUCCAUCAAUAAUUUGGUUACGAAUCUAUUAAUUUUUCUUAACAAUACCACUUUGCAACCUUAUGGGAGCAAACUUGUGUAAGCUGUUUAAAAAUCAUGCAAAUAGGUAUAACAUAAUAUAUAACUUUAAUUAAAUGAUUUAUGCUGCACAAAACUCGGUGUAUAUCAUUAAUUGCAUCCAAAAGUCACUUAUAUAUGCGAUGGAAAUAACUAUAUAGCAAAAAAAAAAAAAGAGGUUUAUUCCACGUGUUGCAAGAAAAUUUCCUCUAUAUAUUGAACUGUCACAUGCUUUGGUUGUAGCAAUUAAUUAAUUAAUGGUCCCAUGCAUAAUAGAGUUAUACUAGAGAGAGAGAGAGAGAGAGAGAGAGAGAGAGAGAGAGAGAGAGAGAGAGAGAGUAGUCUACUACUGUAGCAUUAUGUAUAUGGUUCUUUUGAAUCGAUAAUCGGUUCCGUUAGACUUGAUUUAAAGUAUUUGAAAUACAUAAAAAAUAAACUUUACGAUUUNUUGUUUUUAUUAAUAUUGGUACUUUUGAAUCGAUAAUCGGUUCCGUUAGACUUGAUUUAAAGUAUUUGAAAUACAUAAAAAAUAAACUUUACGAUUUUUCGACAUCAUUUGCCUAGUCAUCAAAGGGACUCAAAAUCAACGACUGAAAAUAAAAAUUCUACAAAAUGUGAUGAUAUGAUAUUAAAAUUUUAGAUCAAGGAUAUUAAUCUUAUUUUAUAUAGCACCAAAUUUUUUUUUAUCAAAACUUUACGUGAUUUGGAUAUUUUUACACCAUUAAACUUACAAACUGUUCACUACGACCAUUAAAUUUUUUGAUUUUGAGCCCCUUCGAUCACUAGAUAGAUAAUAUUCAAAAAUCGCAAAAUUUAUUUUCUAGCUAUUUCAAAUAUUCUAAAUCAAGUCUAACGAAGCCGAUCAUCGAUUUGAAAAUUCUAACAUCGAAAACGAUUUGAAAACACGAAAGACUCCGAGCUUCCAGAAGUAUACCAGUCUCAAUAUAUAUAUAUAUAUAUAUGAGUUGAGCUAGAAUACUCUCAAAAGCACCAACCUAGCUAGAAUACUUUCAAAAGCACCAAGAGGUUGGUGCUUCUGAGUUUUUAAUCCUUGGAUGGAGAGAUGUAGGGUUGGGAUGAUAGUAAUAGGUGGUGGUAGUAGAAAUAGUGUUUAAUCCAAUGUGUAUUAGUAAUCAAGGAGUAUUUCCAAUAGCUAAAAAUCUAGAAGCACCAAGAAAUUAAUGCUUCUAAAAGUAUACUAGCUCAAUUCUCUCUCUCUCACUCUUUAUAUAUAGGAUGGCUUAUGCAAUUAAUGUGGACUUAUGAGAUCUUUUGAUGGCUCCAACUUGUGUUACAUUAUGACUCAUGCUAUCCAUGUGGUUGUAUUUAUAGGAUUAGGAAAUUCAAUAUUAGAUCCAUAAUUUAUUCACAAGUUGGAAUGGCUAUCUCUGGCCAUUACGGCUGAGCUUUCCUUAUGCAAAAAUCUAUAUUUCAUGCCCUCAAUAAAAAAAAUGAUGCGACGACGGACAACCUAAUUAAAAAAGGAUGGACGGAACUAUCAGCCUGCGUAUUAUGUGGGAUGGAGCAGGAAACAGUGGGUCACUUAUGUUGGCUUCAAUGAGCCAGUAUUCUACCCUAUGACGGAAGGCCAUGUUGGGUCAAGUAAUAUUCGGAAUGGCGUGAGGUUGGGUGGGCCAGGUCAUGUUCAAAGUGGCGUGAGGUUGGUUAGGACGAGUCACAAUCAAGACCCGUGGGCGCUGUAUCUGUAUACUUUAAGUAAAUUGAUUGCGUAUUCCUAACAGCUCAAGCUUUUGGGAUUAAUGGUUAGCGCCAACAAUCCGACAAGUGGUAUCAGAGCCAGCGUGAGGCUGGUUGGAUCCAGUCACAAUCGAGACCCGUGGGCGCUGUAUCCGUACGCUUUAAGUAAAUUGGUUGCGUAUUUCUAACAGCUUGAGCUUUUGGGAUUAAUGGUUAGCGCCAACGUUCCAACAACUUAUUCAUGUAAUGCGUUUUUAGUAAAUUUCUAGUAGCGAUAGCCUUGGAGGAGAUCUAGCCUAUGGAUCUGGAGGAUGAUGUAGCGGUCGCUUGGGAUAAUUGGAUGUUAAGAUAUAGAACCCAAUCUACUUGUUCUAAACUGACUGGUUUGACAGCAUGCUGGUGGGUGAUUUGACACUCCAAAAACGAUGCAAUCUUUAGAAAAGCUAAUGUGGACUUAUUUGUAGCAGUCAAUAAGAUUAGAUACUUGAAGAAAUUGUGGGAGGAAUUUACGCGGCAAACCAGCUUUAACGAUGCCACCACUCCUCUUUUGUUUUAUUUUUAUUUAUAUUUUUAGUUUUAUUUUUAUUGUUAUUAUUUUUUUUUUUUAUCUUGAUUGAGGUGUACUAUCUCACUUAUGUAGCCUAGUUCAUACUAUAAUGAAUGAAGAGGAUAGUAUGUUAUAUUUUUCUAAAAAAAAAAGAAAAAUGAUGUGUAUGUAUCAUCGACCGUCUCUGUCGGAUAGUAAAAAGUUUUAUAGCUAGUUAAUAUCCGAAAUUUUAAGCUAGAAACUUAGUUAUUUUAUAUUUUCAAUUAAUUAAAUAUAUAUUUUUUUAAAAAAGAAAAAACUAAUAAUAUGUCAUCUUUUUUGUUGCAGAAAAAUAAUCAAAGGAUGUGAUGCAUAUUUGUGUCUUUGCAAUCUAACUAUAUAUAUCAAAUAACAACUAAGAGUCGGAAUAUUGUCAGGAAUGCCUUCGUGGUGGAGAAAAAUAUAUAUCUCAUAACUUGCCUCCGCCUAAAAAUUUAUCUCCCGUAGAUACCCCAAAUUCACUGUGCCAACCAAAUUCCGAAAAACAAUCAACUAUAAUUUGGUCCCCUAGAGUUUAGAGAGAGAAGGUCUUGUAUGUUAUUACGAGUACGGAGGCCUCCGAUUUCAAAGUCGUUUUCGAUGAUGGAGUUUCUGAAUCGAUGAUCGAUUUCGUUAGACAUGAUCUAGUAUAUUUGAAGUAUCUAAAAAUAAAUUUUACAAUUUUUUAAUAUCAUUUAUCGAGCGAUCGAAAUGGUUCAAAAUUAAUGGCUGAAAAUAAAAAUCUUACAAAAAGUGGUGAUAUAGCACUAAAAUUUUCGAUAAGAUAAAUUGAUCUUGUUGUAAAUAGUAUAAAUAAUUUUCUAUCAAAAUAUCAUCUGAUUUGAAUACUUCUACACCAUUAAACUUACAAAAAGUAUAUAUCAAUCAUAAAAAAUUGUUCAUUUUGAACUCUUCGAUCGCUAGAUAAAUGAUAUCGAAAAAUCACAAAAUUUAUUUUUUAGAUACUUCAAAUAAGUUAGACCAAGUCUAACGGUGCUGAUCAUUGAUUCGAAAGCUUCAUUAUCGAAAAUAGCUUAAGAGUACGGAGGCUUCCGUGCUUCUAAUAGCAUACAAAACCUACUAUAUAUAUAUAUAUAUAUAUAUAUAUAUAUAUAUAGAGAGAGAGAGAGAGAGAGAGAGAGAGAGAGAGAGAGAGAGUUGAACUCCUAUGCUUUUAGCCUUCGAAUCGCCUUAAGAUCCGUACAGCACUAAUAAAGGGGGCUUAAUGGGAUAUACUGUUAAUAGUGCUACAUGAAUCUUGAGGUAAUCCGAGGCUAAAAAGUUAGAAGCACAAAUGCUCCUAUACUUUUAAAAACACAUGAGCUCAACUCUCUCUCUCUCUCUCUCUCUCUCUAGAUCUCUAUAUAUAUAUGUAUAUAUAAUACGACUGGGGUGCUUUUAAUAGCACCAAACACUUAGUGCUACUUAGUUUUUCACCUUAUCCUUUUGACUAUUUUUAUUUCUUAAAUUAUACUAUUCCACCAACCACCCACUAAUCAAAGUGCGCCACUAUCAUCCUAAGUCCACCAUCUCCUACUCUGAAGGCUGAAAACUCAAAAACAUUAACGACUUAGUGCAAAGUAGGAGCAUUACAAUCCAAUUCUAUAUAGUAAUUAAUAUAAAAAUAAAUCUCAGAAUAAAUUUUAAUUAUCUUUAUUAUUUGGUUAAGAUGAAAUAAACUUUAAUUAUUAAAAAAAAAUUGAGAAAGAGGUAGCUCUGCUUCAUUCAUUAAGCCAAAUUAACUAAGCGUACAAUAUGAAAGCAGUUAGGGCCUCCGAGGUGAGCCAAACAGGAAAAACAGAAAAGAAGGGGGAAAAUGAAAUUAAGAAAAAUUAGAAAAGAUUAAAAAAUUAAGAAAGGUAGAGGCGGUGCGGUUAGGGUGGUGAGGGUGGUUCAACCCAGGAUUUCGUCGGAAGAUCCGGGCGCUCGAAAGCUCGGGUGACGUUGGGGGUCUUCGAGCGGAAAAUAAAGUUAUUUUUUUCCGUCCACAUGACCCAUCAAGUAGCCGCCAGGGAGGUUUGAGCUUUCGAUCUUUGCGCUGUGUCAGUGAUAGCAGAUAUUUUGUUCCAAAGGACCCGAACACUGUUCGAAUCCUCAACAGAUACAUCGGCCCUGAAGAGUAAGAAGCGCGUGAAGACGCAGCUGCUGAAGAGAUGGUCGCAACUCUCAGUAGCAAACGCAUAGAAUACAUAGUGAUCAUCGACCUGCAUCCCACGGGUGAGCAGUCUAUCAGCAGUGAGUAGUCUCUUGCGGAGUAACACCCAAAUGAAGACUUUGAUUUUGAUUGGAAUUUUUAAAAUCCAUAUGUGUUGGUACUCUUGUGUCCCUAAGUGAACUACACAUGUUAGAAUAUCACUCUAAUGAGGAGCUUGAAAGUGAACACAUCUAAACACAUACCUUCUUUUGUGAACACACAAACUGGUAGAUAUUUAAAAGCUUUUCAGGACAACAAUAUCAUACUACACUGGACAAUAAUUCAUAAUCUUUUGACAUAAAGUAAAUAACAUUUGUCCCUAUAUAUAUGUACUAUAAAAAUCAAGUUUUGCAAUUUUUAUAUCAUGUCUUUCAAAAUAAGGUUGGUAAAUAAGUCCACAUCUUCCUUGUCCGUCCCUGAUCAUCAACAGUGUACAGAUUUUGAAAAAAUGGUUUGCAAAAACAAAAUUUCCUAAUUUAAAUGGUAAAAACGUCCGAAACAAAAUCAUUUAAUUUUUCAAAAUUUUAAGUUUAUUACUUAAUUUUUUUUAAUUUGUUUGAUUUUAAUCAAUUCACAGUUUUUUAAAUUUAAAUUAUUUAUUCAUUUUUAUAAAUAAUUGUGAAAAUUAUAUAAAGUAACUAAAGCUAUGAAAAUAAAAGCUACUUUUAAAUUUCAAAGUCAAAGUGUUGUUGACUGAUUUGAAUCAAACAAAUUAAAAAACUGGAUAGUAAAAUCAAAAUUUUGAAAGAUUGAAUAGUCAACGAAAAAUAGUCUAUAGCUCAGAAAAAAUUCGAUAUUUUUUUACCAAUUUAAAUUGCGAUCCAUGCAUGUUAUUCAUGUAGUUAUAUUAAUUGAUACCAUUAGGAUCAAUAAUUGUAGCCCUAUAAAUAAGGCAUGAGAAAAGAGAAGGUCGAAGCAUUAGCAAUAGAAGAAAUGGAGGGAGGUAAGAGAGUACGAGGGUUUUGUGCAUAUGAGACGAAAAAGACUAUUGCUGAAUCUUUUAAAAGGAUGUUGAUAUAUAAUGAUAAGCUGGGUUUUGUGCGUAUGAGAACUAAUGAUCGAGUUAACUUUUUGAAUUUCGACACCUAGCUAAGUUGCUUGCAUGGUAUAUAUGGAUAAGUCAUUCACUCAUUCACAAUUAUAACAAUAGCUUUGCAUAACAAUUUCUUAUAUCUUUAUUAUGUAUGUCUUAUUCUUUCUGAAUGAAGUGAUGAACAAAGAGAGUGCUGCAGCAGCGAAGUGAGUGAGUGCGCAACAACACUGGCAAGAGCAAAAGAAGUGUAUGUGAUGUUAGCAAGUUAUGGACCAUCAUAACUUUGCUAAUAUUGUACCGUAAAUAAAUGGAGUUUGUGUCAUCCAUCUAGCUCUCUGCAUAUCCUAUGCUUAGUUGUUGUUCAUGCGCGUGUCAACUUGUACUAAAAUGGCUUGCUGAAUAAAUUUUAUGGCCCGUCUGUUGCUCUGAAUAAAUAUUCUCUUCUCCGGUAGUUUGCAUACCUUCUUCAUUUUUUAUUUUUUUUUCCUAAGAUGCAAGUAGGCUAUAAUAUGUAUAAAUCACACAUACGCUCUUCACUAACUUCGAUCUCACAAGUAGUAAUUAUCGCACGUGAGACUUUUACAUACCUAUUCUAAUCUCAUGGUUCAAAGUGCUUUCUCCGCCUUCUGUCAUUACUUUUCUAUUGUAUUAUUUAAGGAUGUAACAUAACUAAAAAGACUUUUUAACAAAAUUAAAUUUUUUUUAAAAAAAAGACCAGUCGAAUUGGUUCGGACUAGAUCAAUGUUCACGGGUCUAAACAUAGCGGGUCUAAUUGGAGACCAAAUGCUCCACGAGAGAGGCCAAUUCGACCAGAACUGGGUCAAGUUAUAUUGGAUCCAUUUUGGGCCUUGCAAUUUAGGCCCAAAUAUAGUUUUGGUCUUUCGGGAGGCCCAAUUCCCUACAAACUGAAAUCACUUUUUUUUUUUUAUUACUAAGGCUUAGUUUAGUAUUGAGUUAUAUCUAACGCUUUUAGAUAUGGGAUCGCAGAAAAUAUAUCGUAAUCGACUAAUUGCGAUAUGCGGAACGUAAUAUUACGUAAAGAAAUAAACAUGAUAUUUUUUUAUCCUAUUUUCUCAUCGCACGUAAUGCAAUCUUCCUGCAAUCCCUUCUCGCGUUUUGCUAUUCUAUAAUUUUGUUUCUAUUUACGGAGGUAUUUUCUAUUAAAUAAAAUAGCAAAGCCGGUAUAUGUAGAACUUCUCUACAAAAUCAUAAGCACUAAAUUGGGGCAUUUAUUUUUCAUGCUCAUAGCUAGUCCUACUGCUAUUUUUUUUUAGUAAAGCUUUCAUUUUUUUUUUAAUUUAUCAGAUAAUUUACUAUGGAUUGUUAUUUCUGAAAAUAAAAGAAGCAGCAUACAAAAAUAGGUCUCCUUACAUGGCCUAGUUUGAUAAUAUUGUGGUUGAAAGUAGCAUUUUUAUAUUACAAAUAGUCCAAAAUUUUCAAAAGCCCUUAGAACUUUUUUAAUUACAAUAAUUUUACAAUACAAAAGAAGAAAAUUUUGAAAAUAUUUUUAAAAUUUCUGAACUCUCUAUAAUAUCUAAAAAAAAAUUAAAGUUGUCUUAUAAUUCUAAUAAUUUUUUACGGCGGAUUCGAGCACCGUGGCUCUAGUAACUACGCGUUUUAGAAUAUCACUCUGGUAAAGAAAAAAUUCUGAAAUGCAAUAAUUAUAUUACUGAUGUGGUAUUUCCAAUUAGUCAAAAGACUCUCCUAAAUUUUAUCCAUCCCAUCAUAAUCUUUUAAAAAAAUAUUUUAUUAUACUUUUUUCUCAAAAGAAAAAAUAUAAUUAGCUAUGAAUAGAUGAUGUGGUGUAAAUGUUAUACAACAGGCCUCCUCCUAAUAAAGAGCUUGAAAGUGAACACAUAUAUAUAUCUUCUUUUAACCCAAAAAAUCAGGCAAAAUGGCAAAGGGCUUGGUAGUUGGUAUUCGACGUUCCGAGUUAGAAUCCUAAUUGAUUCACAUUUUCAGCUAAGCUUAUUUCUAAAUGAAAUAAAUGAAGCGGGUUGCAUGCUACCUAUUCUCAAAAAAAACACACACACACACACACACACACAUACCUUCUAUUGUGAAUACACAAAAGGCGUGUUUAGUUCGCUUCUUUUUCACCCUGGAAUCGGAAUCGGAAUCGGUAAAACCGUUUGUGGGUGUUUGGUACGUGGAAGUCUCAUUCCGAUUCCAAUUCCCGAGUGGAAUGGGAAUCCCCCGAUCACCUCUUUUUUCAAUCCGGUCUAGGAGGCCGGAUUGAAAAUUGAAUCUGGACGGAAUAGAUAUUUAUUCGGAUUAAAUUUAUUUUUUCAACUUUUUAAAUUAAAAUAUGAGUUAAAAUUUAAAAAUUAAAUAUAUAUUUUUAAAUUUUAAUUUUAACUUAAAUUAAAAAUUAAAAUUUAAUCAAGUAUUUCAAAUCUAACUUAUGAAUUUGAAUUUAAAUUAAAUUUUAAUUAUAUAAAGUUUUAUUCAAAUUUUAUUUCAAACUUAAAUUAAAUUUAUGGAUUCAAAUUAAAAUUUAAAUUGUAAUUUUAAGUUUGAAUUUGAAUAAAUUAAAAUUUAGUUUCAUAUUUUGAAUUAUCCACUCAACUUCAAAGUUUAAUUUUUUUUAAAAAAAAUAGAUUUAAAAUUUUAACAUUAUUUCAAUUUUUUGAUGUAAAUUUUUAAUAUUUAACUUUUAAUUUGAAUUUAAUUUAAUAUAUUAUAAAGAUAAUGUUAGUAUAUUAAUUUGAUUACGUUUUUUAUAUCCACCUAAACCAAACACCGACGACGGGAAUGAUUUAUUCCGAUUCCGAUUCAGGUGAUGAACCAAACAGAAUUAGGUAAUGAGUCAUUCCGAUUCUGAUUCUAGCUUAUUUUGAUUCCGAUUUUGAUUCCGGCUCCGACUUCGAACCAAACACGCCAAAGUGGUAGAUCUCUCAAGAGCAUUUUAGGACAACACUCAACUAUGAUUGUACUGGACAAUAAUUCAUAAUCUUUUGACAUAAAGUAAAUUACAUUUGUCCCUAUACAUAUGUACUAUAAAAAUCACGUUUUGCAAUAUUCAUAUCUAUCAUGUCUUUCAAGAUAAGGUUGCUAACUAAAAUGUGUCAAAUAAUGUCCACGUCUUCCUUGUACCCCUGCCUAAUCAACAUACGGAUUUUGGAAAAAUUAAUGGUUUGCAAAAAAAAAGUUGCUAAUUUAAAUGGUAAAGACAUUCAAAACUUGAUUGACAAGAGAAUAAUAUCGAAAAAAAUAUAUAAUUUAGUUUCUAAAUACUUUAAAUGAUAUAAAUUAUAUUCAACGGUACCGAUCAUCGAUUUGAAAACUCCAUCGGUGAAAAUAAAUAAAAUAAGUGACAACAGAGCUCGUUUGCUACUAAUAGCACUCCAGCUCAACUCAUAUAAAUUCGAUAUAUAUGUGAUUACCAAUUUAAAUUGCAACCCAUGGAUGCUAUUCACGUGGUUAUAUUAAUUUAUAGGAUUUUAGGAUCAAUAAUUGAUGUAGCCCUAUAAAUAAGGCAUGAGAGAAGAGAAGGUCGAAGCAUUAGCAAUAGAAGAAAUGGAGGGAGAGGUAAGAGAGUAGGAGUUGCUCUUCUUGUGCUUCUUGUUGCAGUGGCCUGCUUUGUGGACCAAUCCUCGGCUCGCAGCCACCCCGGUCUCGAUUUUCUUGCUCGAGGUAAUUGUCGAGUAAUGCCGUAUUAAUAUGCAAUAUAUAACCUUUGUAUUUUUUAGAGAAAAAGAUAGUAUGUUAUCUGUUUCAUUCAUUAAGUAAAAUGAACUAAGUUAUAAAAAUGAAACAGUAAAGCUUCAAGGGAAACUGACGGCAGUUAAGCGACAGGUGCUUAAGACCAUUAGACCCACCACAGCUUCCAUGCACGUCCUAAUGUUCCAAUGACCUCCGGAAUGUCUUGUAACACUGAUCAAAUAUGAAACGAAAAAGACUAUUGCUGAAUCUUUUAAAAGGACUGAUAAUGAUGACAAGCUGCUGGUCUUGUGCAUAUGAGAACUAAUGAUCGAUCUAACUUUUUGAAUUUCGACACCUAGGUUAAUUGCUUGUUCAUCGAAUGAAUAAGUCGAUCAUUCGCAAUAAUUAUAACGAUGGCUUUGCAUAACGAUUUCUUAUAUCUUUUUGUAUAUAUGUAUUAUUCUUUUUGCAUGAAGUGAUGAACACAGAGAGUGCUGCAACAGCAAAAUGCGACCUCUGUAUUUGUUUGAUGAUAUGACCGCCGAGGUGCUACUGUAUGGAUCAGUUCGACUGCUGCCCUUCCUGGUGCAAGAACUGCCAGGAGCUGGAUGGAAAGUACGUUUGCCGCGAUGUGAAUCCCGAUCAAUGCAAAAAGGACUCCUCCUUAGACACAAAUCAUAUGAUCAAACUGCCUCACGGUCAGGAGUGAGUGUGCAGCAACACUGGAAAGAGCAACACAAGUUUAUGUGAUGUUAAUUAGUAAGUUAUGGACCAUCAUAACUUCGCUAAUAUUGUAGCUUAAAUAAAUGGAGUUUGUGCCAUCCAUCUAGCUAUCUACAUAUCCUGUGCUUUAGUUGUUGUUCAUGUAUGUGUCAACUUGUACUAAAAUGGCUUGCUCAAUAAAAUUUAUGGCUUUUGUGUUGCUCUAAAAAAAUAUUCUCUUCUCCUUUAGUUUGCAUACCUUUUAUUUAUUUUUUAUUCCCCCCCCCCCCACUAAGAUGCAAGUAGGCUAUGAUGUGUAUAAAUAACCUAGGCGUCAUGGACACUGACACGUGAUACGGAACACGACACGACUCGAACACUGCGACUCGGCAACUUUCAAAAAAUUAGGACGCGGACACGGCAUAAACACCACUAAUAAAAUUUAAUAUUAUUAAUAUGAUAAUAUAUUUUUAUUGUAUAUAAAAUAUUAAUUUGAUAAAAUAUUAUUAUAUUUCUCGUACGAAAGAAAAUUAGUAAAAUUUUUAUUGAUAAUUCAUAUAUUUUAAGAAAAAAAAUUUCACCAUACUUAAUUUAUCUGUAUUAUAAAAAAAAUCAUAUACAUUCAUCAAAAACUAAAAUAUUUAUUUUAUUGUACAUUACACAUGCAUAGAAAAAGUAAAAUAAAAAUAGAUAUAUAUUUUUUUUAGUUAUAUACACUAUGAAUCGACAUUAAACGAGCGUCCGAGGAGUGUCCACAUUAGACACGUGUCACGUGUCCGACACGGAGGCUUAUAGAAGUGUCCGUGAUACGUAGUAAAUAACACAUACGCUCUUCACUAACUCUGAUCUCACAAUUUGGGAAAGAGGUUACGUAUUGAAUAUGCUACAUAGAAGUAGUAGUGAUUAUCGCGCGUGAGACCUUUACAUACCUGCUCUAAUCUCACGGAUCAAAGUGCUUUCUCCGCCUUUUGUCAUUACUUCUCUAUUGUAUUAUUUAAGGAUGUAACAUAACUAAAAAGACUCUUCAACAAAAUUAAAUUGAAAAAAGACCAGUCGAAUUGGUUCGGACUAGAUGGGUGUUUACGGGUCGAAACAUAGCGGGUCUAAUUGGAGACCAAAUGCUCAACAAGACAACAAGAGAGGCCGAUCCGACCAGAACUGGGUCAGGUUUUAUUGGAUCCAUUUUGGGUCCUGAAAUUUAGGCCCAAAUAUAGUUUUGGUUUUCGGGUCACCCAUAUCAGGCCCGAUUCCCACAAACUGAAAAAACUUUCUUUUAUUACUUUGCUAUCUUUUUUCUUUUCUUUUUUUUUUUUGAGAUAAAUGUAGCACGCUACCCGCUUCAUUCAUUUGAAAAAUAAAUUCUGCUACAAAUGUUGAGGCAGCAGGGCCUCGAAUGGAUCAAACAGUUAGAUAAAAAGAAAAAAAGAAAAAAAAAUACAUAAAUAAAUAAAAGUAAAAAAAUAAAAAGUUAUUUUGACAUUCUUUGAGUGUAUUUUUAUUUUACUGUAAGAACCUCUGCUGUCAAAUAGAAAAAUAUAGUUAUAAAGUGAAUAUUAGUGGAACUUACUCUACAAAAUUAGAAGCAAUAAAUUGGAACAUCUAUUUUCCAUGCUCAUAAUUUUAUUUCUAUUUUUUUCACUAUAAAACAGCUAUUUAUUAGCGACUAAUAUUUCUAAAAUUAACAGGCGAGGAAUAACUAGGGAUUACACUUUAUUGAGGAUGACUAGCCAAAAUAAUACGAUCGAGCAAUUAUGGCAAAGAACUUGAUAGUUGGUAUCCGAGAUCUCAAAUUCGAAAUCUAACUGUUUCAUAUUUCUAACUAAGUUCUAAAAAAAAAAAAAAAAAAAAAAAAUUAAAUGCAUACAGGUCCCCAUAAACACAGUAAAUUAUAAAUAUAUCCUAUAAAGUUCAACUUUUAUAUGUGUCCAGAAAAAAAUUCUAAUAUUUUCAAAUAUACUCCUCUGAUUUGUUAUCGUUAGAUAACUAUUUAUAUUUUCAAUUUUGCCAUAACAAAUAUAUCCUUUCAAAAGCCACAACAAUAUAAUAUAAAAGAUAAAAAUAUAAAAAACUAAUCAGGGUUGAGUAUUUAAUCUAUGGUUAAUUAAAUUUUUCUAACGAAUUCUAACGGCAGAGACAUAUUUGAAAACAUUAGGACUUUUACAAAAAUAACAUAUAAAAGUUGAAUUUCGUAGGAAUAUAUUUGCAAUUCACUAUAUUUGCAGUGACCUAUAUGCAAUAAACCCUUUUAAGACAAUAUGUUCGUCGCAAAUGUAGCUAAGGUUUAGAUUAGGAUUAAUAGAUACUUCAUCUGGGUCAUAAGCUUAAUUAUUCCUCUAUGGAAUGCAAAUGUCAUCUAUCUAUAAUAAGAGGCUGUGGAGAUAAGAUUGAUUCAAGAUAGGAAGAUGGAGCCAAAAGCAAAGACAAGUAUGUAUGGAUUGUUUUGUAUACAUGUUUGUGUGGAUUAAGCCAAUGACAUUGAUUUACUCUUUAGUACAUCAAGCCAUGUUGGCUCCAAGAUAAUGAUAUUAAUUUCUGAGAGAGAGACUUAAUUUCUUGUACAGUGAUGGUCAAAUAUGGAUGGCUCUACAUUUUUUACUUUUGGAUAUAUCCAUGUACUAGAAUAUUUUGUUGUAGAAUAGAACAAAAUAUCUUUAGCACCUAAUCUAAAGAGAGUGACAUUAAAUUGAGUGGCCGAUAGGCGAUUACGUAAUUGACUAUCUGAUGUGGAUUGCAUUAUCUGCAGAGGAUCUUUCAAAUAAGUGUAAUAACUUUACAGUCCACAGCGCUUACAACUUUCUCAUUUUUGGGGGAGUCGUAGACCGAACGAUCUCUUAUCUUUAGAAACUAAAGGUUCCCCUCAGGAUGAAGCUUUUUCUUUGGUUGGCCUCAAGGUAUAGGGUUCUAACGGCGGAGAUAUUGUCCAAGCGUGGCUGGCAGAGACCGCCGAUUUGUGUUCUAUGUUGCAAGAGUGAAGAAAAGCUAGAACACAUACUGUUUGAAUGCUCGUUCGCAGUGAGCCUGGGGACCAACCUACUACAGGGCAUACCGAACACUAAGCACACCCUGUUAAAUCAACCCGGAGAUCUUUCGGCCAGAUGGAUUCGAGCCAGGAAUUCACAAUCGGGACAAGCUAAAAUUAUUUUCGAUCUCUGCUUCGCUGCGACUUGUUAGGAAAUUUGAAAAGAAAGAAACUCUUGAAUCUUCGACAAUCGUGUAGGGGGAAGUGGAGGAGUGGGUAACAAAGUUUUUUCCUCUGUAUUACUCUGGAACUCUACUUAAUUUGUGAUGAUAGUGAGCAUCAAGGGUGUGCCCACUCUUUUGUGCUCGACUAUCCGCAUGUGAUAUACUUCCUCAAAUAGGGUCCCCCUGUUUAAUCAUACAUACAUAGCUAUAGUUGGCUGACGGUUUGAUGGUUCGUAUUCGAAAUUCACAUUUAAAAUAUAUUUAUUUUAUAUUUUUAGGUGAAUUUAUUUUUAACUAAAAAAUUAGCGAAAUAAAUAGCAUACUAUCUUCAAAGAAAGAGAUUUUCUUAGUUUCAUAUAUUUUACACGGGUAUAAUCAUAUACAAUGCAAAGCAAAAGGUUACUUUUUUAAAAACAACAAAGGAGAUAUGAACGUGUGUUGAAUUAAUCUUAUUUAUGGACUUAAUUAAUGUACUGGUACCAAACAUUGACUUUUACAACUUACAUUAAAAACCAUUUUUUUUUUUUACAAAAAAGUCUUAUUAUGCAUGCCUUUUAACACAUUAAGUUCACUUCGUGAUUUUCAAAAUCAUUCUAGAACGCCUUAAUUUGAAAGUAGUAAUAUUUUUCGCCCUUUCUAGAGCUCAGUGUGCAAAAAAGUAAAAGCACUUAUUACUAAUCACUGUUGUAAUUAAUUUACUCCUGUUCUAUGAAGAUAUAUAUAGAAAAAAUAGGACUAUUUAUUAGCGCGUUAUAAAUCAGCAUCGAGCUCUUUAUUGCGAAAUCUUUAUAAUACAAUUGCUUGUAUAAUUUCGCUACAUGAAUCAAAUCAGCCUUACACUGACUUUCUUAAGAAAACACUUAACUUGCACAUGUUUCUAGAAUAACCCUUCAUUUUCUCUAGUUCAAUUGGUAGAAUGAAAAAUCGCAAGUCUUAAGACGAAUUAAGCUACAGAUACAGCGAACAAAACGCGCAAAAGUUCCGAAUCGCAGAAGCCGAUCGAUCGACCGUUAAAAUGCCUUAGGAGGCAUUUGUUGAUUUGCUAAGAAGUGUUUGAAAAGCGACAGAGCUUGUCUCGGCUUGAACUGGGGGACUUCGUGGCCAGCUCCGCGGAUCGUAACAAAUGUUAGCCCUUCGAAGAUUACCGUCCACCCUCCGACCUGUGCAAAAAUGCGCGCGAGCAUAAGUAAUUCGUUAUCCUAAGUUUUUCGCGAAAAAAAAGAGAAAAAAAGGGCCUAGAAAUUAAUUUUACUUAAAAAAAUAAAAAAAAAAUCACGGGGCACAUGCAUGUACCUGCUCAUAGUCAUACCACGGCGUCCACUCUAGAAUAGUUUGAAGGCCAAGUUUGCGGAGCGUGUAUCUUGUUGACGUGACUGGGAUUCUUCCAUCAGUGUCGCCGCUGUUAAUUUCAACGAAUAAGAAAAACAAACCAACUGCUCUAAAUAGUGCUGAUUAUAUAAACACGAGAUAGAAACUACCAUCUAUAUUUCGAAGCCAUAAUAUAAAUAUAAUUAUUAAGCAUUACAUCAUUAGAAUUUAAUUGGUAAUGUUAAUUAUUAAGUUAUGUAUGUUAAAUUGGGUUGUAGUUUGUCGACUUAAAAACCUAUACCUGUAAACCCACACCCUGAUUCCGCCGUCGAUGAGCUUCCGAAUGAUCGGUAGCAUAGACGCCGGUGCAUCGUUCCAUUGGUUGAUCGCAUUGCUGCAAAUAAAAAAUAAAAAUUAAGAAAGGAUUAAGUUAAAUUCGAUUCAAAAUUGUGAGAAUUUAGGUUUGAAUACGGAUUUUUAGACUAAGCUAAGAUCAAUAAAUUCCGAUCCAAACACAACUAAAAUGUGUUAGGGUUAAUGGAAUAGCACCUGCAGUGAGUCCAAUUGUAUCCAAUAUUCGUAACAUUCGCGUGAAGUGCUUCUUGAACAUCUUUCCUAUUGAAGUACACCUCUGUAUAGUCCGACACGCAGGGAUCGUAACCCGCAGGCUUCUUAAACCACUCUUUCUGCAAUACGUAAACAAAAGCUAAGUGAGUCGUGCUAUCAGUACGCACUCUACGAUACUAUCCUUGUGGCCUGCUGAUAUGCUGAUAUGCUGAUAUACUUACAAACUUCGAGAAGAGCUUAGGGGACGCGCCCUCAAUCCAAAAGUGCUUAUUCGUUGCAGAGGCGGUGGACGUGUUCUCGACGCAGACGGGGGAGUACAAGCUAUACAUGUCGAUGAUAUUGUAAACGGCGAAGUACUCGUUCAGCGCAUUGUUGCAGGCAUUUGUAACAUUCACUUCGCUGAAGUUGCAGUUCGUUUUUACGUCGUGGUACACUCGAUCGGAUAUGACGGCAUGAUCCCAGGCGUAGUCGAUCAUUCCGUUCUGAUCAGUGUCGUCGUCCAUUAACGCGUUACCUAUCUGCUUAUAAAUGAAUCAAGUAAAAAAAUUGUGGUUAAUUAUUAGGAUAAUCGCUUUUUGAGAGAUUAAUUUAACCAUUUUCCUAAUUUUGUACAUUCAUUAUUUGUAAUUUGCAAAGAUAAAUACUCAUAAGCCAUAAUCAUCUUCAAUUAGGAUAGUGUAAAAUUACCAUGAAACCCUUGAAAUUGAUAUAAUUCUCCUUAGGGCCACUUUUGUUUUCGUCGAAUAUCAUCUCAGAGAGUUCUGGAACAUAAUGUCCUAAAAGGAGAAAAAAAAAAAAGAAAAAAAGAAGAUGAUUUAAGUAAAAAAAUUAACCACAAAAAUUAAAAAAAGGGGUUAACUUAAUUAAUUAGCUAAAUAGAGAGUAAUCUCUUUAAUUAAUUACCUCCAUAGCUUUCUCCAGCAAUGUAGAAUUCAUGGGACCUGAACUGUGGAAACCUCUUAAACCAAUUUACAAGGAAUGCGUACGAGUCCUCGGCUUUAAACGACGGAAAAUAUAAAGCGUUAACGCGCGAAAAUAUUAUCAAAAUUUACUGCAUAAAUUUGCUAAGAUAAAUGGAAACAUGGUUAUUAAUUAAUUGUUGUGUAGGAAUUACCUGUAAUUUUGUCGCCGAGAUGAAGCAAAUCGGAGCUUGUGUUUGUGUAUGAAAAUCCAACACCAACAGGAGACUCCAAAAAAAUCAAAUUGGCCUCUAAAAUUAUAGAGACAAAAAUUAUUAGGAUCAUGUAAUCCAAUACUUCAUUGUUACUUAAUUAGUUGUUAAUCAGGGUGUUUUUUUUUAGGAAAUAUUAAGCUAAGUACUUAAGCAAGGUAUUUUUGCAUUGAAUGUAUGAAAUAGGUGAUUAUGAGUUCGACAUGAUUCGACUAUGCUAUCUGAAAACUAGCUCUGAUAUCAUAUCAUUCAAAAGAUUCAUAGUGUAAUGGACGAUUCAAAAAUAGUUAUUUUUUUUAAAAAAAAAAAGUUAAUGCGUGGAAAAGUUAUAGCCUUUUCUUUUAGUAGGUUCUCCAAAGGAUAGAUAUUUUCUCAGCAUUUUUCUUUUCUUUUUUUUUUUUUGAAAGGGAAAACCACUUGGCCUCUCAACACCUUUUUUUUUUUUUUUUUUGACUCAAAGGGAUACAAAAUAUUCAAUCAUUUUGAAUNUAUUAACCCCACUUUAUUCGCAUGGGCCAUGUUAAUAAGUCAUUAAACAAAUGGUCUUUUAUUAGGGAGUAUAAUAUUUUCACAAUUUUCCUUUGACUCAAAGGGAUACAAAAUAUUCAAUCAUUUUGAAUAUGUGGUUAGUUGAUUAGAAAUUGUAUAAGAUCUCAUACUCCCUAACAUAGUCAAAGGAAAAUUGUGAAAAUAUUAUACUCCCUAAUAAAAGACCAUUUGUUUAAUGACUUAUUAACAUGGCCCAUGCGAAUAAAGUGGGGUUAAUAAGCUCUCUAUUUGAGACAUUGCAUUCCAAUAAAAUAGCUUUUAUGUUUAAUUCAAAAAAAAAUUGGUGCACAUUUGGCACAGCUAGAGCUUUUACAAAAUUAGUGUUUUAGUCGAAGUUCUGAAAACACACUUCUAAAUUUUUUUUUUCUUUUUUGAUCUAAAUUCCCCAAACAACUUCUUGUUUUAGAAGUAUAAGAACUUUAAAAUUAAGAUUUUCCUUUCAAUUUUUGUUGCCAAACAUUUCAAUUCUAGAAGCCAAUUAAUUAUCAAAGCAUGCAUAUAUGUUAUGGACAUAUGUAAUGAAUAUGAUAGAGCAUGUCUAGAAUAAAGUUUCUACUUAACACACAUACAUAUAUAUACAUUUCUUUUUCUUUUAUCUAUUUAUUUUUCAAUAAAUUAUAUGUAAGUUAAAUGUACAUAGUUUGUAUAUAUAUGUGUCUGUGUAAUUAAUAUGUUUAAUAUGAUCAUAAUAAUAUUAAGUAACCUUGCCUUUGUUCCACGAGUACUUGUUUAAUCUUAGUUGGGGCACCCCUUUUUGCAUCAAAAGAGGCCCAAGCUCCUCUGCUUCUCCAUACCCAAUAGAAGAACAACCAGGUCCUGUAAUAAAUAAAAAAUAAAAAAUAAAAAAAAGAUAAAAUAUCCAUUUAUAUAAAUUCAAAAAGAAAUAAAAAGAAAUAAUGAAUUAUCUGAUUACCAAAUCACAUCAAUUAAUGAAUUAGAAAAGUACAUUAAACUAGCGAGAUAUCGACCUCUGAAAAACUUGGUCAAUUUGUGUUCUUCUAAAAGGUAUAAAACACACCACAAUGCACCUAACGUGCACCUCCUUAUCAACACAACUAGUUAAAUCAAUGAGCCGCCUACAACGCACAUGUCCGAUCACGGCCUAAGAUCUAAAUGCUUCUAUCUCCUCUUUCGCUCUCUAAAUAUUACAACUAUUUCAACACAAGGUCGUCGUUUUCAUUAACUCUAUCUCAACGGUAACAAAUAAAGAACGCAUUGAAAUUGAUAGUGACAUUGAACAAUAGAAGAUGAGAUCAAUGGACUCUAUUUUCGUAUCCUAGCUACUUGAUAUUCUUUCUAACUUGUUUGGUUCAUAUUUUCGCAUUUUAAUUUUGAAAAAAAAAAAUUUGUGAACUGUAAUAACUAAUAAUUAAUGAGAACAUAGGGACCAUUUUACAUAUUCCGGGUCCUACUUUGCUAAACGAGUACAAAUAUUUUUCAAAACACUUUGGACCCAAAAUAUCAUCCUUUUCUCAAAAAAAAGAUUACGCAUAUUUUGGUGCUAAACAAACUUUGCAGCUUGUAAAGGUAUUACAUAACAUAAAAUUUAUGUACACGAAAAUUAAGAAAUUAACAACAACAAUAACCAAAUGAGGCUUUUAUCGUCACAUCAAAUGAUUAUUACUCCAUAGUACUAUUCUAUUUUCCAUAUAAAGAUGUGCGUUUCGUGGCCAUUAAAACUAGUCACGUACCCACAUGUGGCUCAUUAAAGCAUGAUAUAAUUUCAACAAAAUUAAUAAUAGCAACCAUAUAUAGUGAAAUAAACACUAUUACUGGGAAAGGUUCUAAAAUUUUAUCCAAAAAGAUAUUCUCAUCACAAAGCAAACAACAUAAAGGUCAAGCAAUAGAAUGAAUACAAAGUUACAAACUAGGAAAACAAACAACGCACGCAAUAUACAAAUAUACGGGUCCAUUUGCCCCCUCUUAUUCUUUCUACCUAUGUAGGGUACAGUAUUAUUUAAUAAAGCACGAUUUAAACACUAUAAUUAUAGAAAUAUUACGUCAAACGUUUUCGACUGUUUCUUAUUCUCUUUGCAGUAGAAUGAGAAACUCUAAAUUGAAACAAAAUCAUGUGUAUAUUUAAUGAAUAUCAUAAACUACCUACUAAAGCUGAAGCAUAAUCACAUAUGUAUUCAUAAUUUUACCUUUUGCUACAAAAGAAAUUUAAAAUUAAAACUUUUGUAUUUGGUAAAUAUUUAUAACUGUAGUUAAAAGUAGGAACGUGAGAGGACCAUGGAUCUCCACGCGACCCUACGUUGUCGGUGUGAGAGACAUAUGUCUUCUUAUGUACAGCCUCGCGCACUAAAAAUUAUUGUGUGCACCGAAUGCAUUAGCAAAUUAUAUAUACCAUUCAACUAAAAUUUCAUAAUAGAGACUUCGAAAUCAGAACUUAAGGAUAUAUAUGUUCAAUGAUAAUUAAAAGUCCAGCAUAUCAAAAAUGGAAAUUUUUAAAUUCAUAUUUUUACUAACCCUUUCUCUAGAGAUGCAUAGGUAAUAAAUUUUUAAAAUAUUUGCCUUUUUAUUCUCUAUAUAUAUAUAAAUAGACUCUUCAGAUGAUAUUAGUUAAUAGUAUAAUAAUGAAUUAGAAUUGCACCAUGCUUGGAUGCCCCAAUAUGUUAUCAAGUGAUAUUUUAUUCUGUUGUGAUUGAAAGUUAAGAGUGUGAUAAUCAAAUGUAUAUAAUGAAAUAGCAUAUUCAGCUUCAAGUAAUUAAUUGUUUUCAGAAUAAUAUAAAUUAUUAUCUCCUAGGUAUCAUAUGCUAAUUAAUCUAAGAAACCAUGAAUGCAAAUGUCUUUUAAGAAGUUUUAAAAAAAAAAACUCCUAUCUUUAGUAACACAAGCAAAUUUCAUGCCAAAUAAUUAAGUUAAUUAUCAUCAGAUAACUUAUUCUGGUAUGGAAACAAAAAACUCAACUUCAAAAAUAUAUAUCAUCAAAUAUUAAGUGCGGUGCACAGAGUGAGCUAGGUGCAGGCAAUAAUUUCUCCUUCUCUAAUUAGUGGCCUCUAUUUGGUUUCUCUCAUUUGGAAAAGAAUAUAAUUAAUGGGUUAACUAAAUUCGCAAUUUACUUUAUUAUUUUUAAAAAAUAUUAUAAAAAAGUUUAACAAAUUAAGUGAUUUGAUUAAAACAUAAACUAAAGUUUAAUGACUUAAUUGACCUUGAAUAAAACUUUACUAAAAGUUCAGCGACCAAUGGUGUAAUUAUUUGCUUAUUAGUUUAUCUAUAUAUUUGAAGAAAAAUAGGGUGACCUAAUUUUAUCACUGGACAUUCCAGCUAUGAUAUUUGAUGAUGGUCCCCAACCAUCCUUGUUUUGAUAUGUAGACACUGGUGCAUGAAAGCGCCACAUCAACCAUUUAUUAUUUUACAUCUAUAGGCCCUCUCUCUAUACAAAGAGUACUAUGGUCCACACCUGUGAAUUAAUAAUAUGCAUAUAUAUAUUGAUUAAACCUUCUUUUAAUUGAUCUUGUAGUGUGAUAUGAUGAUUAUUUGAUCCUAAAAAAGAUCACACAACAAAGUGACAAAGGGACUUAAAGAGCAUAAGUGCUAAAUACAUGCAUGGUACUAGUAAUGAGAGAGAGAGAGAGAGAGAGAGAGAGAGAGAGAGAGAGAGAGUCAAACAUGAAGCUUUGCGUAAAAUGUUACCAAAAUUUUGUAGAUCCCGGAAAAAAGUUGUAUAUAUCUAAGACCUCCACUCAUUCUCUGAAAACAGUUGUACUUGUGAUGCAAAAUGACUAAAGAUUAAACAAAGUAUAUAAGGUGGUCAAUGUUGAACAAUAAGUUUGUUUUCACAAUAUUAUUCAACAUGGCAUCGAAGCAAGAGAAUCUGAUUAGUGUGUUGUUUUGUUUAAUUUGCACCCAUUUUAAUUCAAGUCCACGCCACAUCUCUCUAUCAAAAAAUCUCGACCGCGGGCAUGAGAGAAAAUGUUGAAUAUAAAUAUUAAAAAUAUUGUUCUCUCGUACGUAUGUAGUUUAAGUUUUUGAAAAACAACGGUUGUAUUUCUCAUAUGUAUUUUGUAUGUUACUAUCAUCGUGCAAUAGUGGAGGAGCCCUAGGGAGUGCUAAGUCAGUAACCUGAUAAAUGGACUACACAUUUUCGAGUUUGAAUGUACACAACCCAUUAGUAGAACAACUAGAGCUUAAAACAUAGCCAUCAAAUUAAAGGCACCAUAUGUACACUUCUCUCUAGCUUUCUCUCUCUUACAUUGACAAUUACCUUGCAUCUAUCUUGCACCAACUUGAUUAAAUUCACUUUUUUUUUCCUUUUUUGAAUGGAAAAUUAACUUUAUUAAUGAAACACCAUCUAUAUAUAAAUAUAUAUCUACCCCUUUUUUGAAUGGCUUAUGAUUCAUGUAACUAACAUCUUUAUAUCUAUCCUAACUAGUUGUAAUUCUAACAAACCCAUUAAUUCUCUUUGUACUCUUUCUCAACAACAAGUUAUAGUAUCAUGAAUAAAGGAAAACAAAAACAAACACAAAUACAAAAGGAAAGAUGGAAAAAAAACUAAAGAAUGGUGUAUGGUAUAUAAUUGUUAUGAAUUAUGUGAACAAAACAAGUGUAUAUAUAUAUAUAUACCUCCAUUGAGCCAUAGAACAAGAGGCUUCUUCUCCACAUCAUGAGAGACCUCAAAGAACCAGUAGAAGAGCGCGCGGCCGUGGCUCUCGUUGACAGUCACGUACCCCGCGUACUGCUCGAAGUUCACGAUCGGCUGGCCCGGGAGUCGGAUCACGCGAUCAGCAUCUUGUUGCUUUUGGACCUCAGGGUCCAAUUUGUAUGACUCAACAAGAGCCAAGUAAGAGGAAAAGAGAAGGAUACUAAGGAGGAAACAAGAAGGGAUAGAGAUCAAGGCACUCAUUUGGAGAAUUAUUGCUGGUCCCAAGGGUUCUUCAAAUGACAAGGGGAGUGGCUUUAGCUAUUGUAUAUUUAUAGCAUAAGGGGGGUGGACCCUUGUAUGUUAAUAUAUAUCCCUCUUAAGCUUAUUCGAUUGCACCAAAGUUGCUUCUUCUCAUCCUUCUUUUCCUCACAUUUAUAUAGGACAUAGAAAAAAGAUUCCUUCUCUUUUCUUCUUUUAUUUUGUUUUUGCUCUAGUGUUCAAUUUGUUUCACUAAGUACAAAAAGAAAGCCUCCCUAAGAUGAUGUGCAAAUCAGGUUAUUGUUUACACUUGGUGUAUUGGUGCGCUCGAAAUUUAUGCACCGUUAUUCUAUCUGCUAUUCUUUUCAUCUCAUAUUUUCAGUUCGAUCAUCUAAUUUCUAAAUAAAGAAAAGAUGAUAAAAUUGGUACAUGAUUAAGAUUAAAAUAUGAGAUCGACGGAGAGUUAAAUGACUGAUGUGUGUUACCCAGAAAAUAACUCUAAUAAAAAAUAAUUUUAAAAAUUAAAUGAAUCAUGUCAUGUGCAUUGACAGAAAAGAUAACUUAAGAUAAGAUUAAAAAAAAAAAAAAUUAAAAUAUAUACUACAAAAUAGCGAAUGUAAAAAUAGGGAUCUUAAGAUGAGUUAUGAUACGAUGUUAUCAAAAAAACUCAAUGUAUAAUAGAAAAUGAUUCAAAAAUAGUGUUAACGGUGCGCACAGAUGUACAGAUAUAAUAAUUGCUAUUUAUUUAGGAGAGUGGCGGGUCAGAAGAAGGAAGAGAAUGAGAAAAAUGAGCCAACUGAAAAAGCUGCACCAGAAGCUACCAAAAAAACAAUUUAAAAUCCCAAACCACUCUGUUUUUGGACUUGACUUCAUAUAGAUGGAUGGUAUUCUUUUGACUCUUUUGUUAGGUUUGGGUAGUUGUAUGCGUUUCCUUGCAUUGGUGGGGCACCUCUUUAUAGCCUCAUGUUUUGGAGGGCUUCUUUGUUAUUGAGAAGCAAUUAAUUAAUUAUAAGGGUUUUACAAAUAAGAUGUCUAAAGCUAGUUUGAUUAUUUUUCAAUGUUUUAUAAAUAAAAAUAUUAUGUGAUUAGAUGAGUUUUGUCACCAUUAAUUACCUUGCAAUGCAAUCUGAUCAGAUAUCAAAAAAUUAUUUCUUUCUUAGAAGAAAUUACCUACCAAACAAACUUGUAAAUGCAUAGACUAAUUAUUUGCUCAUUAAUUCUCUACAAUUAAGCCCUAAGUAAAACGACCCUUUCACUAGCAAUAAAAACUCAUUGUGCUCAAACCAUCAGCUCAAAAUGUUUAAACCUAAUUAUUAUUACUAGUUUUCAUGAUCUCUUAUAAACCCAAUAACAAUCUCAUUUUCAUUCGAUAUAGGACUAUUGGGGUGUCACAGACUUCCCCUGCUCUAGUCCUAACGUCGUCGUCAGUCCAAUAACACACAGUCCAAAAUCACCAAACGUUGUAAGAUUUAUCUCGCUAGCCUUGUCAUUCCGGCCCUAAUUUAAUCUUUCCCUUGUUAUUUCGACCCUGACUUAACCUAUCACUCCGACCUUGACUCAGUUAAGACUCAUUUUACGCUUCUAGCUAAUGAUUGGCUCUGAUAUCAAGCUUACAAAACGGAUCUCGAGACAUGACUCUAAUUUAUUUUGAAAUCCUAAAGUUAGAAGCGCCUAUUGCGCCAUGGAUAUAAAAACAAUGUUGUAAACAGAGCUAGUUUUGAUAUCUACAGAUAUAUUCAUUUUUUAAAUUUGCUUACCGUUCUCAAUUAAAUUUAGUCAUAUUUUUAGAUUCAUUAAAUCUGAAAUAGUCAGUACCACAGAUUUGUUGAUACCACUUUUCCGAAAAGAUAUUAGGAAUUUCCAGUCAAAAGAUUAUGUAAUAAACCUGUUUGUGAAUUCCACUAAAGACAACAAUAAUCAACACUGAUUAGAAGCUUCGAUAGUCCUAAAUGGUCCCCAGUGAGGCUGGCUUUUGUUUGUUAACUCUAACUAAAUAAAUAAAUAAAUAUUUUAACUUUAAAAAUACAAUUUUUACAUUUUUAUAUAUAUAAGCCAAUACAUCAAUAAUUUAUAAAAAUAUAUUAGAAUUACGAUAAAAAAAAAAUCCCCAAUUUGUUUUCGUACGGAUUUUCAUGUUGCGUAUUGCCUAUACUGUAGUAAAAGUCGAUAUAUUUUCUGCAAUCUAAUCACUAGAAAAAUAAAAAAAAUAUAUAUUUUAUAUGUUUUUGUUUUAACUCUAUUUUGUCAAGUAUUACCAAACUAAAUAGGCCAUAAAUAACAAGGAAUUUUGGAACGAAACAAAGAAGCUAAUGUCACGUUUAGCUGGAAUUAAUUACUGGCUUUGACCAGUAGAACGAAUUUUGAUGCACAGUUCGCAGUGAUAUCGCGUAAUAUGCGGAUACAGGCAUACAGCAAAGAUACAAAUCCUUAAUAUUUCCCUCACUAAUAAAUAAAUAUAAGGGUAUAAAUAUAAGGACCGACGGUCCCUAACGUAAGUGGUAAAAAGGCUUAAUAAUUGGUAUCCGAGAUUCAAAUUCGAAUCCUAGUUGAUUCACAUUUUCAGCUAAAUUUAUUUCUAAACAAAACGGAUAGCAUAUUAUCUUUCUCUGUCAAAAAAAAAAAAAAACAAAAAGGGUAUAAAUACUUUUUUUUGUGACACGCACCUCUCAGAAACUGCCAUGUGGAAAAUCCUCAUAAAAUUGGCUUAUUAGCGCCUACUUUGUUUUACCAAUGUUUGCACAGCUGAACAUAAUUUUUUUUAAAGAGCAAUUACUUAUAUACUCUUGAAAAGUUUCUGACUUUUCAAUUUACCAUUCUUAGAAGGCUAAUAUUAAAAAUAUCAUUUCUAGAUUUCAACCUAUUUCUAAUAUAUCCGUAAAGUUAAAAUUUGUUAAUUAACUCUGUUAUUUCUGUAAGAUUACUAUUUUGCCCUUUCAAAUAUACCCUUCCAUCAUCAUUAACUUUCUUAUUUGCCCUUAAAGUCAUGAGCAUAAAAAGUAUUUUGACUUUUAGUCUUUUCCAAUAUACCUCUCUAUCGUCAUCAACAUUUCUUAUUUGCCCUUAAGUUAAGGACAAAAUUGGUAUUUUAAUUUUUUUUUAACUGUGAUAGAUAUUCAACUCACGUUUAACCCAAGUAAACUUAAUAGAAGAUAACUGCGGAGGUAUUUUGCAAUAAUGGUGGUGAGGGGCAUUUUAGAAAAAAAAAUUAAGUAGAGAUAAAUUAGAUAUUUUCAAACGUAUAAGAAGUAAAUAGGCAAUUAUCCCUUUUUUUAAAAAUUAUCUUAUACUAUACAUAAAAGUACGUACUUCAAAUUUUAAUAUGUCGACAAACUUAUUUUAAAUUUUAUUUUCAUACGCAAAAUAAAUAAAGUAAAAAAAUAAACUUUUGGUUCCUCUUCUUUUUCAAACUAUUGAUAUUUUAUUUUUUAUUAAAUAUUUUUAUUAUUAAUAUCUUUUUUAAGAUAAAUAUUUAUAUAUUAUGUCUAUUCUAUCUACUGAUAUUUUAUUUUUAUUUUAACUUUUUAAUUUUGAUACUUUUAUCUUCUAAUAGUAUAUAAUAAAUAAAUUUACUUUUUUAAAAUUUAAAUUUUAUAUAGUAAAUGUUUGAAUAAAUAUUAAUUUGAAAUAGUUAUAAAAAUAUUUAUAAAGUGCAUUUGCAUGUAUACUCAACCAAUAUAUUAUUUAACAAACAAAAAUAAAUAACAUAAAAGUUAAAUUUUUUUAUUGUUAAUAUUCUUUUAUUUUUUUCAUAAUUGACUUUUAUCCGGAAAGCACCAAAGUUAAUUAAGUUAUUUUAAGUAGUUCGAACUUCGACCAAAGAUAAUAUUACGGUAAAUCAAAUAAUAAAAGUAGAUAUUUACGGUCAAAAAUAGCUUCACUUUGGUCUACUUGAAUCAGAAUAAUAAUAAUGGAGAGUAAUUUAUAACUUUUAAUACACACUAACUAAUCUCUGUUCUCGUAAAUUACAACAAUUAAUAAAUUAAAAUAAAAUAAAUAUUUCCAGGCUAGUUACCAAAGAACACAAAAUGUAAAUAUGGGAGUAACGAGAACGUUAUGAAAACGAUCACAUAUGAAUCCAUUAAUAUAUGACAUAUAUUAACUCAUUGACACAAAAAUUAAAAUUAAAAAGAAAAACAAAGGAGCUAGCUCGUGCAAUAUUGACUUGGAAAUUUGUGGUUCAUGUUCGUGAAUAAUAUGUUUUACGUGGAUAAAUGGGUACCCGUUCAUGUAAAAAUGGUCAAUGUUUAGCCACGAUCAUAAUUAAAAAUAAAAGAUAACACAUCAUAAUUAAACCAAAACAUAUAAAAAAAAUCAAAGAUCUUCAAUUUAUUAAUGCAGCAAAUAUCAAUAUUACUUAAUAUAAUGUAACCAGAAUUAUAAUUACAAAUAUUUUUCUUUGAGAAUUAUCAAUAUUUUCUUCAUUAUUUAAUUUUUGUUUCAGAAAACGUGACCCACCAACUAAUUUGGUAUAUAAUACCUAAAUAUCUCAUUAAUUAUAAUUACAAAUAUUUUUCUUUUUGAGUUAACCUCCUAUUUUAUUUUAGUAUUAUUCUUACUAAUCAUGCUUCUAAAAUUCCAGCACAAAUCACGAGGCCACACGUGCUCUUGAGCGGUACACGUUAACCACUCCCUCUUGAGUUGUAGGAUGCUCACAAAAAAUUUAAAAAUAAUGUUUUGUUGAUUACAUUGUCGAGCAUACAACUCAUAACUUAAUAUGAUAUCAGAAUAGAAUAUUCUAAAUUCGACUAAAAUUCAACCAGAAGAUUCUAAGUUCGAAUCUCUAUCAAACUUCUAAUCUCAUUUGAUUUUUCUCCCAUCAGAUUCAAGUUCACUUCUUGAGCAUAUCAAAAUAUUUCGAUCCUAGAUAUAAAGAAGAGUACCGAAUAUAUACAAUAUUAAAACACUAUUAUCCGAGUACUACACAUAAUUUAAUAUGAUGAUGAAUACACAAUAUUAAAACACGGUUCUCUAAAAUUUGCACAUAAUUUAACAUAACACAUGAUGCAAAAUCCUUGUAACAAGAGAGUAAAUACUAAAUAAAACAUCCUUGCUAUUGACAAUGCCUGUGGGAAUAUGUCAUUAUGCUGCAAAAAAACUGGUAAAAAUCGAGGAAAAAUAAAGUAGAACAUACUAUGCAACUAACAUUCCCUAUGAGCUGUUUGAUGCAACUAUGCACCUGCAAUAAUAAUGCGAGAUCAAACCAUAAAUCUUGAUUGUCACAUUGUAGUUGUAUCUAGAUACAAUAAUUGGACUUGCAGACGAAACCUCAAUCUCUGUAUCGCAGGCAAAAGCUCAAAUGCAGACGAAAGAUCAAUCGCUGUAUCACAUUUAAUGUCUAAAUAAAUAAAUAAAUUAGCAAUAUGUCUAAACACAGCAGCUGGAGAGAUGAGAAACCACACAGGAUUUCAUGGAUGUAGCAGUUCCAGCACUAUAAAUUUCGGAGUUUCAGGAUCCUGUGCAAUAUAGCAUGUAUCUGCCUAAAAGUUGAUAACAAUGUCUAGGUAGGAAAUCGGUUUGGAUUCGACAAAUGCCUACUGAUCCAUUGCCAACAUAGCUUGAGGUUUCAAGUUCAUAUGCAGGAAAGGACGAGUUUCUUAUGGCAGGCAAAGCGGUGGCGGGAUCCCCACAAAAUUAAUAUAGUGGGACGGAAAUCGAACUUCUGUAGGUGUUUUUAUUUUCAGGGCAAGAUCCUAUCCGCCGACAAAUUGUAGAUGUAUGGCUUGUUAACAGUUCAGUGUAAGCGCGAACAGAUUUUCCCCUUCAAUGGUUCCAUAGAAUCUUUCAGGAGAAAAAAAGAAGUUUCAGACAAUCAUGCGCAACAAAAGUUCCGUCUCACGCAUUUUUAUUCAGGCUAACAAGAGAAAUGCAGUCGGUCCUGUUGUCAUGAUUUGAUCAAUAUCAUACAUAUUAAGUUUGAAAGCUGCUGCUUACUUAUUUCUCACCUUAAACAGUAAGAAAUAUAUUGCCGCAGCAAUCUCAUAAUUGAAAACUCUUUCACACAAAACAAUCAGCAAAGGCAAGGCCGAAAAAGAAAUACCAGGUUCAGGUUUUUCCAGGCAUCUCUGUGUGACAUACCUUGAUUAGCAGCAGCAGCAGCAGCAGCAGCAGCAGCAGCAGGAGAUAGUACAACAGUGAGGUUAAUUUAAUACCAUUAAUCUUAGCCCCAUCUCCUUCUAUCUUCUUCUUCAUCAACCGGGGUGUACCACUCCGGCCGUCUCUUCGAGUUGCUCAACCUGUAAUUCAAGAACACUUCUUCGUCGCAAAGAGCCCUUGUCGCAACCAGCACGAGCGUCUUUAUAACAGGGCCAUCACCUUCUUGAUCACGAGAACCCCAGGACUUAAACCAGAAGGUGCCGAAUCUCUUCAUCGCCACGCUCUCUUCACCUCCAAACACAAGGUUAGGAAUAUAAACCCUCAUGUCCUUCUCACUCAGCGGGAAAUCAUAAGGGCAGACCAUAGCGUUAGGGGUGGUGCCCUUCGGAGGGUGGUUCGCGAAAUGGCCAAAGGCAAGCGGGUUACGCCACUCAACAACGUCCCCACCAUCCCCCCUACGAGCGUCCUCCAAAGGCUUACUUAGCAUUCUCCACAUACGAUCAGACCGCCCCUCAAUAUAUUCAGAAGGAUUUGGCUCGUACUCGGGCUGGCUAUAACCAUCCCAAACUUCUCGGGUUUCACCGCCAACUCCCCAAGGUUGCGCAUUUAUAACAAUCCCGUCAUACCUUGUGAUCAAAUAAGAAUUCGAGGCAUCGAUUCUGGGAUAGCCGGGGAUAUAUCGGUAGUAAGCCGGCGAAUAAAUUACUCCGGGAUAGAAGGCAAGAACAGAUCCGACUUCAGCCUCCCCAGAUAAGAAUAAACCGCGACCAGCAGCCUUGUGAGGAAUUUGAGAUUGUUUGAUUUCUAGGGUGUAGCCAAUACUAUCCCUCAAACUCUGCGAUAACUCACGGUGAGAUAAUGGCCGCGUCGCAGGCACAACUGUGCUGCAAAGAAACAGUAGAGGUCAGGGCAGGAGAAUCCAGUAGGUCUCACUAGUUUCCUCUGCAUGUGCUAUUAGUUCAAUAAGUUAACAACAACAAAUCAAACGAAAAACACAUCUUCGGACUAAAUAGCAACAUUCACUACAAGAAAAUCAACAUGUAAGAACGUUUUUUUUAUAUUUAACAAUGCUUAAAAGCAUUUCAAUAUAGUCCAGCAUCACAUUUGAAAGCGUCGACAAAUGAAAAGUCGCCACGUAUAUACCGACGUUUAUGCCAAGCGUCGGUAAAAUAUAUUCUGACACUUUAAAGCGUCAAGAAUUUUUAGGAUUUUUUGAAACCCUAAUGCUUUAAAGUGUCAAAAAUUUUUAAAAAAAAUAGUAAAAUUUAUCAUUUAAUAAAUUGGUUUGAUACAAUAGAGUGGUCAUAUGAGGCACUUUUUGAAGCGUCGUAUUUGCUAUAUUAUAGGGACGCUUGAGGAUGCUUCCUUCAAGCGUCAUCUAAAAAGCGUUCUUAUAUUAAGAUUUUUUUGUAGUGAUUCUACAUAUGAUUAUUUAGAUUUCAUGAUAGGAAUGCCAUUACCAGGUUUGUUAGCAGACGCGCUACUACCGAUAGCAAAACUCAAUCCACUACGUCGAGAACCAUUCUGGGAAUCUGGAACUGAAUUCGGUGUAUUGCGGUCCGUAUCAGGACGAAGUAUGCUAUCCAUCGUCUGGGAUAUGUUCUUAAUUUGGAAAUGAACAUUUUCCUGGACUUGUCUCUGCUGAUCAGAAACAGAUGCUUUGCUUCCCAUCUCAAUAAUCUCAUCUGCGUCCUUCUCAUCCGCAUUCUUUCCCAAACGAUUAUAGCUGGAAUUUAACAUUAGAAGAGAUUCAAAGUAAAUCGCAUAUGCGAUUCCGAAGAAUUAACAGCGUAUUCCGUUCCAGGUAACAUUUAAGGAAACUAAUUUCAAAAUGAUCGCCGUAGGAAAUGCACUAACCUGGUGUAAAGAAACAAACGAUUAACAUCAGCUUCAAACUGAAGAUGCCGUGGAUCGCGAGCGAAUGCUCGACUCUUUGCGAGAGAUUUAACGGCCUGGGAAGAACAAAACUGGGAUGAUUCCAUAAAAACAAAAAUUUUAAAAAAAAUUAAAAAAAUUUCUUUUCGAUGCAGGAUCGAACUUGAAAUCUGUAAAAUGUCCUGUUACGGAAACUCUUACGGAUCCAAACAAAAUUUUAAAAAAAAAUUUAAAAAAAAAAAACAUGGAAAAGUGGAAAUUUAGGAAAAGAGUAAGGGGGAGUUACCUCUUGGAACUUGUGAAAGAGGAAGGCCAUGGCGUAUACACUGGAGCUCUUCCAGAAGCUUCUCUCGCCGGCGCGGUGACGAAGCCGAGACCCCUCGAAACCCCAACAACACUACACCUGCUCAGAUCGAGGGAGGGUUUUACGCUGAGCCUGGAAUGGGCCGGGUGGGCUUAUUUUGAACCCGGCCCGGUUUGAAAUUUUCGCAUCUGAUUUUUUUUUUUUUUUUUGGGAAAAUGCUACGUGGCAGUGCACAAACUAUUAAAAGGUGUAAAAAAUAAAAUUUUUAGUAUAAAAAAUUUGAUUUGAGAGGAUAGAGCAUAUGAUAAUAAUGAUAUACAAUUAUUUAUAUAUUAUUGGUGUACAUGUUAAAGAUACGUCUUCUAUUUUAUUGACUUAGUCCAUGCGCUCAGCCUAUGAAAUAAUAGAGAGGAUAUCAUGCGGAUUCUCAUUGUGGAUUCUAAAUUCAAGUUGUAUGUGAAUUAGACCCGGGCCAGUUUUCUAUGCAUUACUCCUAAUUCAAGUUUGACUAAAGCUAAUUAAUUAGAUGCCCCAAGUGCAUGUCCGUACGGCAUGAGAAGGUGUCGCGGCCUCGCAUACGAUGUCUAGAUCGGAGUCGGCAGCGAAGCAGAGAUUCUCGACCAAUUGAUUGAGCGAUUUUGAUUUUUUGAAGCAACGGCAUAAAAAUUUGUUGUCAGAGCUUUCUAUACUUUUCUAAUUUGGUCUUCUCUGUUAUGAUUUUAUUUUUUUUUUGAGAAAAAGGUAGCACGCUAUACUUUUCUAAUUUGGUCUUCUCUGUUAUGAUUUUAUAAAAAGCUUUUUUCAGUGAUUUCUUUGAGUUUUCGUUGGAAUAAAAGAAAUGUGGAGCUCACCAUAAGACUCUUAAUUUUUAAUGAGGAGAAAAUAUGAGGUGUAAACUUAUGCUUCUAUUUCGUACAAUGAAAUACUCUAUUUCGCUCUCCUCGUGGAUGUAGACAAUUUCCAAUUCUUUUACCGUUCAUUCGACUUUUCUUAUUUUUGUGCAUCUUUAUUGACAGCGUAUAACAGACGAUCCACUCGGUGCAGUGAGUUGGUACCCCAGAUAGUCCACGAUGAUUAAAAAGUGGGUUUUGGAGUGGGACAUGUGGACUCGCUGGAAAAAAAAAAAAAAAAAAAAAAAUUUUUUUUUUUUUUUUUUUUUUUUCAUUUUUAUACGUUACAUUAAAAAGCGAAACUUGAAAGCUUCAUUAAAUCAAAACGUCGGUUCUUGAGUUAGUUUUAAUAAAACUUAAAUUCUUGAGAGUUUAGUUUUAGUUUCGUAAUCAUCGUUUUUUACCCUGAGAAAAAACCAGAGAGUUCAUUCUUAACUUUUCUAGAUUCUUUAUUAUUAAGAGCCGGGGCAGUACUAAAGAACCGGUAAUUAAAACCUCCGAGACUCUUUCGUGUUAUUUACCCUAAUCCAGGUAAACGUAUUUUUCUUCCCCUUAAAAACCCCCUUAAAAUUCCGUUUAAAAAGUAUGGUUUUAUGGUCAGAGGCUUUUAAUUAAGAUGUUUUUUAAAUUUUUUUUUAACGAUUAUAAUAGAGAAAAGUACAUAGAUCUGAUCUGAUCUAUCUCGACUCAAUCAUAGUGUAGAAUGUAAUCACGUGAUCGUCUACUUUUUAUUUUUUAUUUUUUUCUUCUUCUUCGAUUGUUUCUAAACUUUAAUUUAUCUGUAUUCUACUUUUAAGACUAUUUGAAAGUCUAGGAUGGAGAAACACCAGCUUAUUUUGUUUUCUUAACAAACCGCUUUUAACGUUUUUAUCAUAGAUGGAUGAGAAAAUUUAUAUAUAUAUAUAUAUAUAUAUAUAUAUAUAAAUUUUCUCAUCCAUCUAUGAUAAAAACGUUAAAAGCGGUUUGUUAAGAAAACAAAAUAAGCUGGUGUUUCUCCAUCCUAGACUUUCAAAUAGUCUUAAAAGUAGAAUACAGAUAAAUUAAAGUUUAGAAACAAUCGAAGAAGAAGAAAAAAAUAAAAAAUAAAAAGUAGACGAUCACGUGAUUACAUUCUACACUAUGAUUGAGUCGAGAUAGAUCAGAUCAGAUCUAUGUACUUUUCUCUAUUAUAAUCGUUAAAAAAAAAUUUAAAAAACAUCUUAAUUAAAAGCCUCUGACCAUAAAACCAUACUUUUUAAACGGAAUUUUAAGGGGGUUUUUAAGGGGAAGAAAAAUACGUUUACCUGGAUUAGGGUAAAUAACACGAAAGAGUCUCGGAGGUUUUAAUUACCGGUUCUUUAGUACUGCCCCGGCUCUUAAUAAUAAAGAAUCUAGAAAAGUUAAGAAUGAACUCUCUGGUUUUUUCUCAGGGUAAAAAACGAUGAUUACGAAACUAAAACUAAACUCUCAAGAAUUUAAGUUUUAUUAAAACUAACUCAAGAACCGACGUUUUGAUUUAAUGAAGCUUUCAAGUUUCGCUUUUUAAUGUAACGUAUAAAAAUGANNNNNNNNNNNNNNAUAUAUAGUUUAGAGAGUUGAAUUGGAAUACUAUUAAUAGUAUUUGAACUUUUUUGAUAUUGAUUUUUUAGCAGUUAGAUCUACACUUUGAUCAAUUUUAUCAUUUAGAUCAUACUAUCUAUCUAAUUACUCACUCAAUCUCAGAGGGAUCAUUACUAAAGCCAAGGGGACCACUAUCAUUCUAACACUAUAAUUUCUUAUUCAGGAGUUAAAAAAACUCGAUAACAAAAAAAGCCAAAUACUAUUAAUAUUAUUUCAACACAAUUAUAUAUAUAUAUAUAUAAGCAAAAUAAAGUGCAAAUUUUAAAGGUUGUCGUUUCGAAAUACUCUUUGAAAGAGUAUUUUGCCUAACUUCUGAAUGAGUUUGUUCAUUUACAUGAAAAAUUCUAGAUUCUCUCAUAUUAUUGAGCUAGAAGAAGACAGUACUGGAUUUUUCCAUAAGUUGGCAUUACAGCUGCAAAUGUUGCUAGCUACUUACAAGGCAAAACAGCAUGCACCUAAAUCUUUUUCAUGCGCGAGAUAAUUUUAAUGUGUACGAAAAAAAAUAGAUCCCGCCAUCGAAUGAAUGAAUGAAUGAAGCGGGAGGCCUAGACUGAGACCAGCUGAUGAGAACAUGUAUACAUACAUAUAUGGACAAAUAAAGUGAGGGACCCAACUCCAUGAGAAUCCCAAUCCCAAUGAUCUUAAUUAUUAUUGGUCCUUAAUAAAUAAAUGUUCAAGAAGCGUCCACAUCGACCAUAUGCCCCGCUACAUCUGCGCGUACGAGCACUGCCAUCUCUAAUCUUAAAAUGGUACCUCUUCAGAUUCCGAAAUAGCAUGGUUACAGGAGAUACGUACACACAGUAAUUAAAACAAAAAAUUUAAAAAAAAAUAAAUAUAUAUAUAUAUAUAAGGUAAUGAGAAAACUUUAAAUACUCUCCUGUAGUUUCACACUUUUUCACUUUAGUAUUUUGUGGCUUAAAAUAUAUUAAGUUAGUACUUAGUACCCUGUGGUUUCGCACUUUCUCACUUUAAUAUCCUGUGGUUUAAAGUGUAUCAAGUUAGUACCAUGUGCUUUCGCACUUUCUCACUUUAGUAUCCUGUGAUUUAAUAUAUAUUUCGUUAAAUUAUAUGCAAAAAACUUCAGAUAUCCUAUCUACCUUUAUCGUAUAUUCAAUUUAGUGUCAUUUAGUUUUAACUUUGUUACUGAUUUAACAAAAAAAAAAAAUCCCGAAAUGGAUAAUAAAAAGAGAUAAAUAAAACUAUAUGGUACUAACUUGAUACAAAAAUGAAAUCAUAUAAUACUGACUUGACAUACUUUAAACCAUAGAGUACUAAAGUGAAAAAAUGCGAAACCACAGGGUACUAACUCGAUAUAUUUUAAAUCACAGGAUACUAAAGUGGAAAAAAGCGCAAUCAGAGGGAGGUUUUUGAAGUUUUCCCUUAGGUAAUUAGUUAAUUCGUGCAGGGGCAUUUUGGGGAACACGUGACACGCUAUGUGUAUUAUUAUCCCGGCACGCUCCCAUCAAAAGCCCAAACUUUUCUUUUUCCCUCUCGCUUUUUCUCGGGGCAAAUUACAUGGGUAGUCCCUUUACUCUUUUUAUUUUGCAGUUUAGUUCCGAAGAUUUUUACUUCAGCCCUUUAGCAUUCUUGUGUAGUUUUUGCGAGAUCUAGUAAGAUUUAGAUGUUCUAAUACCGCGAAGAAUAGCAAUAAAACUUUGGAAUCGAAAAGUAUAAAAAAUUUACCUUUUAAAUUCAGAACAUAAGAUAAAAGACUCAUCUAUGUAAUAUGUGUUUCACUGAAAGUGGAGAUGAACGAAAUAAUUUUUGUCAACUCUUCAUAUAGCGUAAUCGAAGUAAAUUUUAUCUAAAUUCUAAUUUACCUGAAAAUUUACUUCAACUUUAAUUUCACGUGCAGCGAAAUAAACAGAAUGAGGCAAACAGGGUCCUAAGACCAUUUAUGCAUUUUACACUCUACAAUAUUUUAUUCCAAAUCUCUUUAACCAAUUCCCCUUUAUUAAAGUUUAAACUCCCCCCUUCCCCCUUCCUCCUCUCUUCCAUUAUAAAAACACUACAUAGGAGAGCAAAAUAAAAGUGUGUGUAAACAAGAGAGAGAGAGAGAGAGAGAGAGAGAGAGAGAGAGAGAGGUGCAUAAAUGGCUACAUUAGCAUCAGUUGGAUCUUUGGUUCUCUUGGUGAUGGUCACAGUUCUAGGGAGUUUUGCGAGCUCCGUGGCGGCGUCGGACCGCGUGAGGGGGCUCCCCGGGCAACCGGCGGCGAGCUUUCGACACUACGCCGGAUACGUCGACGUCGGCCCCGGCGAAGAGAAGGCGCUUUUCUAUUGGUUCUUUGAAGCACAAGAACGCCCCGAGGAGAAGCCCCUCCUCCUCUGGCUCAAUGGAGGUUUGGGCAAUUCCUCAAUUUCCUUUUUUUUCUUUUUUUUAUUCACUACAUAUAUAAAAAUAAAACUGUUUAUUUCUCUAUCAUUUUCGACUACAGAACAUUCGAUUCGACAAUUGGCGCCUGUUACCCAUCAUGUCAAACUCAGAUGAUUAUAGAAUGAGUAAAUUUGUAUUUUUUAGAAAGAAUUUGCGACCGCGUGCUUUCAACAAAUGAUGCACUUAUGAGUAUAUCGUGUUUUAUAUUUUACUAUCUUCGAUUUUGAAAAAAAUUGUAGAUAUAUACCUUGUCAAUAUUUAUGCGGUAAUAUCUUUUAACCCUUCUUAUAAUUUUAUUGUCACCAAAAUGUUAGAUAAUUCUAAAGUAUAAUUUCAAAGGCGAACUACAUACAUCUUAUCCAUGAAGAAAAUAAUAUCCAGAUAAUUUUUAAAGCUCGUUUUGACAUAUAAUUUAUCUAGUCAAAUUCAGACCCCAAAUGGUAAUCACAGUUAAUAUUAAUAUUAGGAUGCGUUUCGUUCGUAUUAUGAAAGAUUACUAAGAAUAAAAAAUAUCCGAGAAUUUUAUUUCUAUUCAUCAUAUUACUAAGAAUGUGGAAUUCCUGUGUUUGGUUCGCACGGUAAUAUUAAUUAGUCAUUUAUUUAAUAUUAUAAAAAAUAUAAAAUUUAUUUAUUUAUUUAUUUAUUUAAUUUUAGAUAAUGUUACUAAAAGUUUCAACAUCUUUUUAGAAAAAAGGGAGAGAAAGUAUAAACUAGAGGAAGAUAGCAUAAUUUAAAAAAUAGAAAGAAAAAUAUAGUCGAAACUAGAGAGAGUGAGAAAGUUGAAAUUUUAGAAAGAGAAAGAGAAAGAGAAAGCUUAGUUUAGAGAGAGAAAAAAAAAUUGAAUUUUGGAGAGAAAAAUAAGUUUAGAAAGAGAUAUAAAGUUAGAGUGUAAAGAAAAAUAAUAUUAAUUAGCCGGUGGGUAAAAAGAAAGAAAGUGAUUAGACAUAUUAUGAUUAUCCCAAUCCAUUAAUAUGAGAAUACCCAUUCUCUCUCAAGGGAAUGAGAUUAGUACUUUGGAGUGAAUCUUAUUUCCAAGUGAAUCCAAUAUUACCAAUUAGAUUACUUAGUGCGUUUAGCCAAACACCGUCAUAUUUUUUUAUUCCCAUUGGAUUACUAAGAAUCUUUAAAAAAUAACGCGAACCAAACGCACCCUUAAUAUUAUCUUAAUUUGUUCAUAUCAUUUUUCCCAUGUAGUGACUUAGAGGCUAAUCUCAAAAAUCUUUUCCAUGCUUCUCGGCGCGAGGAGCCAAUAGAAUACAAGUUUUGAAGAUAAUUAUUACCAAAAUAAAAAAAAAAAAAGUCAGAAAUUAGUCUUUGUACUCUUACUUAUAUGGAUAGUGGAUACCAGUUAUGCUACGUAUCUGAAUGAAAAUGUAUUAAAAGAAACAACAUAAUAUAGACAUGGAUAUGUACAAUAAAAUGGAGAGAUUUUAGAUCUGACUCUGAUACUAUAUUAUUUACAAGAUCAAAAUGACUAGCAAAUUAAUUUUUUUAAUAUAUAUAUAUAUAGGGAGAGAAGUAUCCAUAGUGUACCUCUAGAGACAGAUGAGAAGGUCCAACCUGUGUAAAAAAGUGUGUUAUCAAAAACAGAGAUAAAGCUUCCAUCCUCAACAGUGUGAUUUUGUUUACUCUCCUACAUGUUGGACUGGAUCUUUAAUUACACUUUAUUGGUGUCUACUCAUUUUCACACUUUAUUUUUGUCUCCCCCACUGUUUUGCAUGCUUGUGUGUGUGUAUAUAUAUAUAUAUAUAUAUAUGUAUGUGUGUGUGUGUGUGUGUGUCCAAUGAAGAGAGAGAGAGAGAGACAAAUAUAAAGACAAAGUUCAAAAAUGAAAACAAAUAGAUAGGUCUCUGUUUCUUCAUUAGGUCUAUGGAGUCAUUAAAGUCCAAAUUAAAUGUCAUAGAUGUUGGGCUACCAUUAGACAAAGAGUAAAGCUAUUCAGGUCACAUGUCAAAAAUGUCUUCUCAUCCUGUUAUUAACUGUUUCCCUUUUUUUUUUUUUUUUUUUGGCCCUCCAUUUAGUUGUAUCUUUUCUUAUUUAAAAAUGAUCUUCAAGAAAAGAUAAAAUAUUUUGAUAGCCACAUAAUUUUCGAAAACAUUUCCAUUUUUUUUGAAGGCCAAAAGAUUAUAACAUGUAUAACAACUGUAAGACACACGAUGAUUUUCUGUGAUGAUGAUUGAUUUAUAGUUUAUGUAAUGCAGGACCGGGAUGCUCGUCGGUAGCAUACGGGGCCGCGCUGGAACUGGGUCCGUUUCUGGUUCGAUCCACUGGUCCAAAUCUCACACUCAAUCCCUACUCCUGGAACAAGGGCAAGCAUAAACUCUCAUUCCCACAAUUAAACCCUUCUUGCUAGGUUAAAGUUUUCUUUUUCUAUUUCUACUUAAUCUCUCUCUAAUCCUUUGUUAAUAAUAUUUCCUUUUCUUUAUAUUGAAACUCGUACAUUACAGCUGCGAAUCUUUUGUUCGUGGAAGCUCCGGUCGGAGUCGGCUUCUCGUACACGAAUCGAACAUCGGAUUUGAAGGAGCUCGGAGAUAAUGUUACGGCGCAAGAUUCGUAUAGAUUUCUUUUAAAUUGGUUUACAAAGUAUCCAAAUUUGAAGUCUCACGAUUUCUAUAUAGCUGGAGAGAGCUAUGCAGGUUGAUGAAAUUACAAAAGUUUAAUUUUAAGUGUAAAAAUACUCUCUUUCUUUUCCCCUUUGAAGUAUAUGUAUAUAUAAUUAUAAUGUAGCACUAAUCUUUUCAUGCAUUUUUUUUUUUUUUUUUUUUUUUUGUGUAGGGCAUUAUGUUCCACAGCUUGCUCAGCUUAUAUAUGAAGAAAAUAAAAAGGCCACAAAAGACAAAUAUAUCAACUUGAAAGGUUUUAUGGUAAGCCAUUUAAUGAGCAAAUUCUUUGUUAUAAGAUGUAGAGAGAGAGAGAGAGAGAGAGAGAGAACCUCAAAAAACAUAAAAAGGAAAAGAAAGAUUUUAAAAAAAAUUGAAAAAGAAGAUUCCAAAGAAAAAGUAAAGGUGAAAGAAUAUUCGUGUGCUUUCACUCACUCUUUUUCUUUUUCUUCUCCAAAGAAGGGAAAAAGAAGAAGACGAAGAAGAGGAACUUCACCUUUUAAUUAGGGUUGUAUCAGAGUGAAAUGGAUAUAUAAUUAGCCUGAUGUCUAAAUAUUUUGAGUUCUAAAAUGUUACUAUGGUGGCAAUUUAUUCUGAAGCUGUUCAUGAUCAAAUAGUAUAAUCUUCGAAUUUAAAUUGUACUUUUGCUAUAGCUAAACGAUAUUUGACAAGUCAUUAGUGUUUUAUAUAUAACCUAGCCUAUUCAAAUAGCACUUCUGUAAAAACUUCAAUAAAAUAAAUGACCGUUCCUCUCUUCUACAUGACCGCAGAUAGGCAAUGCUGUGCUGAACGACGCAACCGAUCAGCUGGGGAUGGUGGAAUACGCAUGGAGCCACGCGAUAAUAUCCGACGAGCUGUACUCGACGGUGCGAAAAGAGUGCGACUCAUUCAAGGAGGAGGCGGAGGGGGGGAAGCCCCGCAAGGGAUGCUCACCAGCCGUCAAAGCAUUCCUCCAAGCCUACGAUGACAUCGACAUCUACAGCAUCUACACCCCCGUCUGCCUCUCCUCCCUUUCCCAGUCUCCCCGCGGCUCCUCCGAUCUCCUCGCAGCCCCACGCCUCUUCUCUCAACAAGUACGCAUCAUGCAUAUUGAUUGGUCAUUAUUUCUACUCGCUUUAACUAGUUCUUUUAAGUAGUAGUUAGAAGACUGACAAAUAACAUACUCAAAGGGUUUGUAGUGGCGUAUAUAAAGCUGAAAUACGCUUUUUAAGACUGAGAAAUAGAAAAUCCACUUAAUUUAAAGAUCCUAAAACUGUUGUAGGUGAAAAUUGUAAGAAGGAUCUUAACAAAAAAAACGAUUAAUACUUCUUUCAGAAGUUCUAAUAAAUUAAACAAUAUUCAUAUAGAAUUUUUGGGCCAAACAAACCCUUAGAUGAGCUUAGCUGGGAUACUUUUAUAAAUGCGGAGAUCUCCAUGUUCUAAGUUAAUAUUUUCAAUAAUAGAACUUUCGAAUCGAUAAUCAACUAUGUAAGACUUGGUUCAGAUUUUUUGAAAUAUCUGAAAAUAGACUUUUGUGAUUUUUUGAUAUCAUUUAACUAGUAAUCGAAAGAACUCAAAAUCAAUAGCUAAAAAUUAAAAUAUCGUAAAAAGUGAUGGUGCGAUACUAAAAUUUUAGAUCAAAUAUAUUGAUCUUACAUUAGAUAGUGUAAAAAAUUUUCUACCAAAAUUUUACCUAAUAUGAAUAUUUAUACACUAUUACUAAACUUGCAACUGGUUCACGUAGGCCAUUAAGUUGUUGAUUUUGAGCCUUUUCAAUUAAGUAAAUAAUAUUGAAAAGUUAUAAAAUUUAUUUUCUAAAUGCUUCAUAUAUACUAAAUUAAGUCUAACGUAGUUAAUCGUCGAUUCAAAAGCCUCGUAAUCGAAAACAACUUAAAAGCACGAAGUACCCCAACUGGACUCCCCUUAGAUCUAGUACUCUCACUACUACUCCACACUAGUAAAGAGAACACUGAUUAUAAGAAGAAGAGUUAUGCAGUGAGGUUAAGUUUGGUGAUGAUAAUAAAACUGAUCUACAGGAGGUGUGGAGGCAUAGAAUGAGGAAGAUCCCUGCAGGAUAUGAUCCAUGCAUGGAGGACUACGUGAGGGCUUACUUCAAUCGCGAGGACGUGCAGAGAGCGCUGCACGCCAACCUGACCCACCUCCCCUACCCAUUCUCUCCUUGCAGGUACCCUCCUCAUUCUCAUUAACAUACAUAGAUUAAUACUCUCAUUCACGUACACGAUAAAUAUAGUAGGCACGUAAAAUUAACAGAUGAGAUAGAAUAUGAGAUGAAACUUUAACUUGUUAAAUACUAAAGAUAGCUAGGUACUGAAUCCACAACUUCACAGAAUUAAAGGGUUUAGAAUCAGCUCUGACGCUAUGUUAUCAGAAAGAUCUUUUACUAGAAAAUAAAUCCAGAAAUAUAUACUAACAAUCGUGUGCUACAUUAUUGCGACCCAAAUGUUCAUGCAAAGGUUAAUUUGAAACUAAUAAACAUGCGCAUUCUCCAUGCGAUUAUUCAAAAGAGAUCAAUCUCUGAGGAUAUAAACUUGUAACAACAAAUGUUAAUUAAGUUUGGUCAUUAUUUACUGGCUAAAUAUUGUUAAGAGUUUUUUUGACAUUUUCUGAUAGAUUUGAUUCGAAAACUCUUUAAAGUCCAAAGUCCUGACUCUAUGAUCAUUUAAUAACAGAAACUACUGUUUUCACUUUGGUCAAUUACGUAUGCAGUUUAGUUACACUGUUCCAAACUACUUCUGAGUCGUUUCCUAAUGCGACAAACAAGAGUAGAUUCAGUAAUUUUGAUAUCCAAGCCAAGUAAAUGUCACAUUUCCGUAUGUGUUAUAUAUUUAUUAAUCUGCUUAUUCUGACACGUGAUUGGUCAGUGCUAUGAAUUCACAAUCUGUGUACCCUGUGCCCCUGUAGACGCAUUUAUUCCUAUGAGUGCUAUAUAUAUAUAUAUAUAUAUAUACACACACACACACACACACACACACACACACACACACACACACACACACACACACACAUACACACACACACAACAUUGCAUGCACAAUUACUUAUGAAGCCCACUAAUUAAAUGGUCCUUUAAUGCUUUUGACUGUCUCAUAUAUUCUGCCUUGUGAGAGCAAUUUGCAUGCAUGCAUGCUGUCCAAUGAAUCCACCUCGACCGAGAACCUCCCGGAUUUCUCUACCACCAUUAAUUGAUUCCAUCCCCCUCUCCCUCUUAAAAGCCCUUCCCCUCAAUUUGUCCUCUCCUGUAUUUAUUAUUGUUAGAUAUUUAUUUCUAAGCCAAUUUGUUCUAAAUAUACAUAUUCUCCUGUAAAUUCAUCAAUGUCCAUAUGCGAAAAUGAGAAUGUUAAAUAUAUUUCUGAACUCGUUACCUACUCGAUCACUAUACUACAAUAACUUUAUUAUAUCAUCAACUUAAUAGCAUCAAAAAUUAGAUUAUUAUAAAUUAUAUUUUGUUGUAAUAGUUUGUUCCGUUGUGAUAAUUAAAUAUUAUCAAGUAAGUUUCUUUUUAAUAAGAUCCAACUCUUCUUCUUCUUACUUAAUUACUAACGCACCUUAUAAUAUAUGUGCUCUCCAAUCAAUAUAUAGAUGUAGAUUAGGACCAAACACGAAUGGAUAAAAUGAUUCAAAAUUUCUGAAGAAAUCUAUUUGUUAUCUGAUUAAAGAUUUUAUGUUCUAGUUCGACCAAGAACACAAUGCCAAUCAGAAUCAUCACCCCUAAUGCAAAUAUAUUACUCUGAGAAAAAAAGAAAAAAGAAAAAAAAUGUAUAUGUAUAUGUACACAUAUAUGUACGUAUAUAUAUGUUCUUUUUGAGGUUAAUAAGAAGAAAUUUGUUCUUUCUUUGUGGUGCAGCGAAGUAAUACGAAAAUGGAACGAUUCGCCUUCCACUGUCCUGCCCAUACUCAAGAAGCUCAUAAAUGCCGGACUCCGCAUUUGGGUUUACAGGUACUAAACCAUAUCAUGAUCAGCGAUACCAACUUAACAUGAUCAUAUAUAUAUAAAGUUGUACUGGAAUGCUAUUAAUAUGCAGUACUAUUCACUUUGUGACCCUUAAAUGACUAGGGUUAAGUGGGUGGUUGGUGUAAUAAUAAUGAUCUAAGUGUCAAAAAAUAGAUAGUAUGUACUAUUAAUAGUAUCUUAACUGGAAUUAUAUAUAUAUAUAUAUAUAUAUAUAUAUAUAUAUAUNACAUAAUGACCGACUAUAUAUAUAUAUAUAUAUAUAUAUAGCUGAUUAACCCCACAGGUGAAUUUGUCUUUUUUUGUCAUUUUUUUUUUAUUUUGAACUCAUUGAUUUGGUGUUUGAAGCGGGGACACCGAUGGUAGGGUUCCGGUGACGUCGACGAGGUACAGCAUCAACAAGAUGAAGCUCCAUGCCAAGAAGAAGGGAAAGGGGAAAGGAGAUGAAUGGGGAGGGUGGAGGGCAUGGUACUACAAGGAGCAGGUCGGGGGUUGGGUGGUGGAGUACGAAGAGGGCCUUGCGUUCGCCACCGUGCGCGGCGCGGGCCACCAGGUCCCAGUCUUCGCCCCGGCCCCGGCCCUCUCCCUCCUCUCCCACUUCCUUGCGGGGCGAUCUCUCCCCGCGUCGCGCUCCACAUGAUCAUACAAUACUAGUAAACCAUGAAAACUACACAAGCUACGUACGUGCAUGCAUGCGUGCACGCAUGCAUUGCAUGGCAUUGUCGACGAGCUAGUGUGUGCUCAUGCGAGUACGUACUUGGAGAUUGUGGUGUGAGUUUAUUAAUCUGUAAUGAGAUUGAAAGAUAAACUCGAUUAAUUGUUUAAUUGCGCAUUGUAAUUGUAUUGUGAUUGGUUUCUGCAAACACACAAGGAAUUUUUUACACUUUCAUAUACGCAUGCCUCUCGAAAUACACUUAAUCAUUUGCAAACAAAAAGUUUCAGUUUGCAUCUAAUGCAUCUAUGGCGCCCUUGAUGAGUUAAUUCGAAAAAUACGAAUAUUCGUAUUAUUUUACACCUUAAAAAUAAUUUGUAUUUGCACUUAUUUAUACUGAAAAUGGUGUCAGAAGCGGAGGGCAUAUAAGAAAAAAGCUGUAAAGUUACAAAUAUAAAUUUUCAAAUAUGAUUAUUUUUAUGGGCCAACAUGCAUGCAUAGACAUAAAUCAUAACUUUCUCAAAGGUUAAAAAAUACAUAUUUUUCAACUAGCAUAUAAGCAAAAAAAUGAAAAUGAAAAAAUGUAACAAGCUCAAGGACUAGUUUGUUUGCUCAUCUCUUUUUUUUUUCUCUCUCUUUUACUUUACAUUAUCUUUUCAUGAGUGAGGCUACUAUGCUAUCGAAAGCACGGAGCCUUCCGUGUUUCCAGCUCGUUUUCGAUGUUGCGACUUUCGAAUCGUCGAUCGGCUCCGUUAAACUUGAUCUAGAGUAUUUGGAGUACCUAGAAAAUAAAUUUUAUUAUUUUUCGAUAUCAUUUGCCUAGUGAUCGAAUGGUCUCAAAAUCAACAAAUUUCAAUGGCCGUAGUGAGCCGUUUGCAAGUUUAACGGUGUAGAAAUAUCCAAAUCACGUAAAAUUUUGAUAGAAAAUUCUUUAUACUAUAUAAAAUAAGAUCAAUAUCUUUGAUUUAAAAUUUUAAUAUCAUAUUAUUAUAUUUUGUAAGAUUUUUAUUUUCAGCCGUUGAUUUUGAGCCCCUUCGUUCACUAGGCAAAUGAUAUCGUAAAAUCAUAAAAUUUAUUUUCUAGAUACUUCAAAUACUCUAGAUCAAGUUUAACGGAACCGAUCGAUGAUUCGAAAGUUGCAACAUCGAAGGCUCCGUGCUUCCAGAAGCAUAGUAGCUUCACUCAUAUUUUCAUUUGUCUUUUACUUAACC